UUGAGAAGUUCUUGCUGCAGGUGUAGUAGCACCAGCACCAGCAUUGGAAUUCCUUGCAAGAGGCUUACAUAAACAAGAAGGAAAAUGAGUUAGUACUUAAAAAAUGGAAUGCACAAGAAGGAAAAUGAGUUAGUACUUAAAAAAUGGAAUGUACAAGCUACUUAUAAGAGGAUUACCACAUGUUUGUUCUUCCUCAAAGCCAGCUCAGGCUUCAACUGCUUCAUGCAGCUAGUGUACCUAUGUCCUUGUAGUUCACAAUUGCCACAUGUUAUAGUCCCCAUUCUGGAUGUGUCCUUAGGCUUUGGAACUUCAAAUCUCCCCUUGAUCCUCUUUUCUUUCUUUCGUCCUCUCUUCACUUUAAAUUUAGGUGGGUCAAUGUCAGGACCAGGGGUCCUUGUCCAGUCAUGCUCACCAGGAACUGGAUAGAUCAUUGGUUCAUAAGCUGCCACAUAAAAUUCUUUCUUGAAGAACUUGCUGACAUAAUCCUCUGGUUUUCUUUUGCCCUUGUUUAUUGCUGAGAUGGCAUGGUUACACGGGAUGCCACUGAGGUCCCAUUUUCUGCACCCACAUGUGUGCACUUGCAAGUUAACAGCAUGGGUUUGUUGCCCACUUGUAACUUGCCACAAGUCCACACCAGCUUGAAUUGGUUUGCAAUAUUUGGCCCUCUCCUUCUCAACCUCUAGCUUCUCACUAUAAUGGGGUGUUAUGUCCCAUCUAGCUGUCUUUGCACUCUCCCUAUUCCUAUGCCACCUCAUCAUCUUCUUAUCCUUUAUUCCAUCACACAUUGUCCUAAUUGGUUUCUUCCUAACAUCUAGGACAUACUUGUUGAACACCUCAGACAAAUUGUUAACUACAAGGUCAGUCUUGCAAUUUGUGUCAAAUGCAUGCCUUGCCCAUGUUUUCUUGGGUAUUUGACAAAGCCACUCCCAAGCUUCCUCACAUUCAGCUCUAAGGUCAUUCAUUGCAAUGUUAAAUUUGUGUUCACUAUAUGCAUAGGCAGCAUUAUCCAUACACUUCUUCAGAUCUUCCCCCCUAAACCCAGCAGUUUGAAAAAUUGCAUAGAUAUGCCUAAGGCAGAACCUUUGGUUGCACUUAGGAAAGACAGCAUUCACUGCAUAUAGUAGGCCCUGGGACACACAAUUAAACUAGCUAAGCUAAUAUCUAGCACACAACAACCAUAUAGGAACAAGGAUAUAAGAAUAGGGGCACAUACCUUUUGCCUAUCUGACAUUAUUGUAUAUGGACCAAACUAUCCCUCUUCUCCUCCUAGGCAGAUUUUAAGUUGGUGUAGAAACCAACACCAAUUAGCUUUGUCCUCUUGCCCAACAAUACCAAAUGCUAGUGGGUAUAUAUUGUUGUUGCCAUCUCUACCAGUGGCAGCAAGUAGUUGAGCACCAGUACUUAACUUAAUGAAGCACCCAUCAACACCUGAAUGAGCAAGCAAUUUCAAUAUUUAGAACAUUCAAUUGCAUUUCAAGAUGAAACAAUAUGUAACUAAUGCACAAGGUGAACAAACUAACCAAUGAAUGGUCUGCACCCCUUGAGAAACCCCUCCCUUGCUCCAUUGAUGCAGUAGAACAUAGCAUGGAAUCUUGGACCUGGAUGGGGGAUUUUUGCAGUGGGUGUUGGAGUUACAGUAGUGACUAUUACUCUACUCCCAGGGUUUGUAUCCAUCACUAUCUGAGCAUAGUCUUUCAACCUAGGGUAUUGCUUCUUGUGGUCUCCUAGCACAACAUCAAUAGCUAGGUUCUUUGCCCUAUAUGCCAUUGAAUUGGGCACAUCCACACCAUACUUCUCCAUGCAGGCAUCAAUCAAAGUCUGAAUGCCAGUUGUUAGAUCAGAUCUGAACAGUGACUCAUACUUCUGUGCAAGCCACUUGGCACUUACCCUUGUUGUCUCUGUACUAAUAGGGUAAGUGUGGUUAAUUCUCAUCUUCUUAAUUACAAAAGUAGUUUCACCUUUUAUAACUGCUGCCACCAUAAAGAAGUUGCAAUGUUUUUGGUUGCAUUCUACAAUUAUUCUUUGAUCUGAGUUCCUAUGAUAUCUGAAGUUUCUGCCUUGAGUGAUGUGUAAGUUCAACAAAGCCUCUCUGAAUUGAUGUUGAUCCAAGAAACACAUCUUCAGACAUAAUUGCUCAUGUGGUGCCUCCAUCUUCUCAUUGUACCAUUUUCUAGGAGGCCUCUGCUUUGCGCUACUCUUCCUUUUCUUUGGCAGUACAAAUGACAAUGGCUCAUAACCAUCAUCAUCAGCCUCCUUCAACAAUCCUUUCUCUUCUUCAUCAGAUGAAGGUUUGAAAUCAGGUUCCUCCUCUUGAACUACACUUGAAUGUGUCCUUGUUGUAGGCCCUUUCCUAACUGGAAGCUUCUAUUUCUUCUUCUUCUUCUCUUCAUGUACAAUUACAGUUUCUUCAUCCUCUGAAACAACUUUCUCAUCUUCGUCCAUUUGGAAAGGCUCCUCAACCUCUGUGUCACCCUCAUAAUGCACCACUUCUUCCACCUCAGAUGCUUCAUCAUCUGUUUCUUCCUCUUCUAUUUCAUCAUACUCUCUCUGUUUCUUUCCCUCCUCCAUCUCUAUAUCACCAGCAUCACCCAUAUAAAAAGGGUUUACAUCACUGUCAUCUUCACCUUCACAAUCAGAAUCACCACUGCCAUCAUAUCCCUCUUCUUCUUCUAUUUCCAACACAACUUUCAGUUUUCCUUUUACAUUCUUGCUCUCUUGUGUGCCAACACCAGUACCAUGAGCUACACUGCAGCUGCUACUCUGACUUUCAAAGGCAACUCCUUCAUCAACAGCAUAGAUGGGUGGCUCACUGACAUCAUAUAACAUAGGCUCUUCAUACACAACAGUGGAUAAUUCUUGCCUCUCAUACUGGCUGCAAGGAGGUGGAACAGUGGAUAAUUCUUGCCUCUCAAACUGGCUGCAGGGAGGUGGACAUGCCCUCACUAACAAAUUUAAAACCUUACACUCCUCAACCUGCCUCUUUACUAGUUGCAACUCAGCAUUACUCUCUACCAUCUCCAAUCCUUUCUCCCCUAAAUCUGGAUUCUCAAUGUGAAACAGCAGAUCAUAUUCACUAAAUCCUUGGGUUUCCAUCACUGCAAUCAUAUUCAUGUAUGUCACAUCUGAACUGCAGAGCUUCAGCUCAAACAUUUCUGAAGCAUCAAAAUGGAACCUAACAUCCAAAAUGUCAUCAUACAAACUGCAAAAUGAAAUAAUAGACAAAAUUGGUUAAUAAACAGAUAGGCUAACAUAUAAACAAAGCUCAGUUUAAGUUAACAUAUAAACAAGUUAACAUAUAAAUAAAGCUUUGUUUAUGUUAACAUAUAAACAAAGCUUUUAUUUACCCUUGCAGUAUGAAUAAACUAAGCAAUUACUACAAAAUCAAACAAUGUAGAAAACUAUCUCAAUGCAACCCUAAUUACAGGGUGGGUACUUAACUCAUAGCAAACUGAUGUUUUGUAUUUUCAGAUAAGUAGUUAACAGAAUUGUCCACUAAUGGUGCUCUGCUCUAGUUAGAACUAAUUUAAUCCACUAUGCUUCUCUGCUCUGCUCUGCUCUGCUCUAAUGGUGCUCUGCUCUAAUGGUGCUCUGCUCUAGUUAGGACUAAUAAAUAACAAUGUAAGCCACUAAUGAUGCUCUGCUCUGCUCCAGUUAGGUAACACAUAAUGCUGCUCUGACAACUUGGAUUAAGAAAUAACAAUGUAAUCUACCAAUUUGGACUAGAUGGGACUCAUGUAAUCCACUAUACUUCUCUGCUCUAGUUAGGACUAGCUAUUAGAGUGCUAAACAUGCAGGCAGUAGAAACCUAACCCUAAUCCCCAAUUUCAGUGAGCAAGAAUGGAACAGUUGACCACUUACAGAACACCACCGAAGCCAUGAGUCCAGUGAUGCGCGGUGCUAGGGUUGGCCACCCAAAUUCGCGCCAACUGCAGCCUCUGCUCCAUCGACAAUGCCGGCUCCGCAAAAUCUUCGUCCUCGCUACUGUACUCCGAGCUGGAGUAGCCGCCACUGCCAUCGAGGCCAAAGCGGGGGAGGUCGCCGCCGCUCGAAUCGCCCCAGCCAUCGCCGCCUGCCGGAGUCGCCGAGGCCAUCGUCACCUAGGGAGGCACAACAGUCGGGGGGGAGAGGAGGGCGCGAGGGAGGAGCAGCCGCGAGGGAGGUAGGCUACGGCGGCGUGCUGUGGCGGCGUGCUGUUCCUAGGCUACGGCGGCAUGCUGUGGCGGGCGGCGGGGCGGGCGGGGAGGGGGAGGCAGACGCCGGCGAGGGUGCAAGGGCAGAGCGGGGUCGGGGUGUGGCUCGACCGAACCAGCCGCGCCCUAAACGGUGCGAGCCGGCCUCGUCCUAGUCAGCGCGCGGGCACGCGCGCACUGGCCAGCGUGGCGCCUGACGGGCGGGCCCAACCGGUCAGCUUUUCUGUCAAUACGUAUAAAACGCACUUUUAGUCUUUUUUACAACGGCUCGCCCCAAUCUUGGUACUGACAUAUAAAAAUUACCAAUCUUGGUACCAAUCUGCUUCCAAUGCCCCAAUUGUGGUACUUCUGUGUAAUUUACUCACUGAGAUGGCACCCCGGCUUAGGUCAAACCACCAUAGCUGAUUAACGAAGGCAAAUUCCUCUUGGUCUGACAUGCCUGAAUACAAGUAAAUCAUACAACUGAAUAUGAGUUGGUACGACAAAUUGACCUCCAUGUCCUACUUUUCUAUGCCCGAGAGAAAGCGGGGAUCUUGUUCCGUUGCAGCUCGGCGAUAGCGAGCCUGUCAGGAGGCUCGUGCUGAGGCUGAUAUGGUGAAGAUGUGGCAGAUCCCGUGGCACUCGGCGGUCGCAGGAAUCAUAGUGGACCACGGACCCAGGGGUCGUUCACCAACCCCGAAGGUGGCGGCACUCGUGGAUCUAUAGUUCACGCAUGACUUUGGAGAAGGCAGGACAUGGUGGCAGAGCUUGGGGGCACAACGAUCGCUACUAAGCAUAUAUUCCAUCCCUUCCAGUUUAUAGGGUCUAUCUUCAAAAUUUUGUUUUCCCGUUUUACAAGUCUUAAUUUUACUGCUCCCCAACACAGGUUCAUAUUUUAAGAUGCAUUAAAUUGCCGCAUGCAAGGAUUAAUAGAUCAACAAUGCAUGUAAAAGUUCUUGAUCAUUUAUUAGUCAUGCGUGUAUGCAUUGCAAUUAAUGCAUUGGUAAACAUAAUUUUUUUUAAAACGAGCACAUUGAUUGAGUACUUUUGAAAAAGACAAAAAAAAAAUCCAGCAUUCACAAUCUACUUUGGUUGGUGAGAUUUUUGAAUUGAACCCUACUAUAAACCGGAAGGGAGGGAGUAGUUGUGUUCAUCACUGAGGAGCCUUGCGGUCCUGCUAAAUCAGACCCGUGGUCCACCGAAUUCUGGAGGAAGAUGAAGCCAUCUCAUAUAUGCAAUUAUAAAAUAAUCUGCCUACCUAUGAUAAAUAAAACAAUAUGGCUACCGGUCUCACAUAUUUUCCGUACUCGCUGGCCUCACCUAUUUGGUACUUCCAAAUAGUUUUCUUUUGGUACCUUUUUUCCACCAUUUCAUUACUUUUGAUAGAUGGUUUUUAUUUUUUUCAACCAACAUAAAACUUGUAAUCGAAGGAGGAUUAUUGUACACAGUUCAAUGUCAUUUAAAUGCAGACAUGCAUGCAUCUCCAAAAUAAUUAAAUGUGUGUGUACAAAUCAAAUCAACAGUUUCUGUUGCACUAUUAAAAAUCCCAAACACAGACUUCAAAAAAAUUAUCAAUUAUAUUUCCAAACUCGGAGUACUAUGAAUGCAUUUUCGCUAAUAUGAAUUUCUCGAUGAAAAAUCUGAGUUGUUUUGGCAGUUUGAAAUAUUACAAAUGCAUUAAAGUACCAACAGUUUGUAAUAUUAAUUAUGUUUUAGUGUACUUUUUGUUGUACAGACACUAGAAGGAAAGGGAGCAAUGGUCCAGGCCGGGUCAGCCCAUUAGUCCCGGUUCAGACUAGAACCGGGACCAAUGGGGGCAUUGGACCCGGUUCGUGAGCUCAGGGGGCCGGCCGGGCCACGUGGGCCAUUGGUCCCGGUUCGUCUGGACCUUUUGGUCCCGGUUGGUGGGACGAACCGGGACCAAUGGGCCUGGCUCCUGGCCCACCACCAUUGGUCUCGGUUAGUGGCCUGAACCGGGACCAAAGGGGGGCCUCUAGUUCCGUUUCAUGCCACGAACCGGGACCAAUGAGGUGCCUAUAUAUACCCUCGCCCGCGAGCAGAGCACUCCAGUGCUCUGUUUUUCUGGGCCGGCGAGGGGAGGGUUUGUGGUGCUCUAGCUCACCUCCUAUGCACAUGAGGUGUUCGAUGAAAUGUCCGAGCCACACUAGUUAAGCUUUCUCCUCUCGAAGCUCGACCUCAAAGCUCGAUCACCCGCGCCGAUCUCAUCACCGACACCACCGUGGUGAGCCUCUUGUUCUUAUCUUCUUUCUGAAAGGAAAAAUAUUCUUACUUGUAUGUUUAGAUAGAUACUUGUAUCAUUUUCUUACUUUUAUUAUUGCAUCUUAUAUAGUGCGAUGGUUUUGGUAUCCGCCCCCGUCGGCCCUCGUCCUAUCUAUGAUUCGGAUGUGGUAUAUAUAUUAAUCUUUAUAACUAUUGGUUCAUUUAUUGUUUAUGAAAAUUAUGCAGACCAACGUGACAUAGAUUUUAUUUAUCUAGGAUGUAUAUGAACCGGAAAUUCCAACCGACCCUAUUGUCGAGAGGUUAAAUUUAGUUGAAGAAGAAAACAAUUUCUUGAAGGAAAAAAUAUAAAAAAUUGAGGAGGAGAAGAUGAUAUUGGAGUUGCAUGUUGCGGAUGUCAUCGAUGAUCACAAGAUCAAGAUGGAUGCAAUGCGCUUGAAGAUUAGAAAGAUUAGAAAAUAUGCCAUUCAUACCGAGGCUUGGUAUCAUUAUGCCGUUGGAUCAAUUGUUACCUUGGUUGCGAUUAUGAUCGCCUUUGUUUUCGCAUUAAAAUGUUUUACAUAGUUUCAAUGUAUGGUUUAAUUAAUUAGAUGCUCUGGAGAGCUAUAUGUUGUUAGAUGAGAACUAUGUAUGUACUUUGGUUUUAAUGUGAUGAUGAACUUCUAUUAAUUUGGACACUUAAUUAUAUAUAAUGCACGCAGAUGAACCGGCAAUGGAUGUACGGUGACAGACACACCUCCGAGUACAUUAAGGGCGUGCAUGAAUUUCUCAAUGCGGCUGAGGCAAACAAGUAGAAUGGUUUUAUGUGUUGUCCAUGCCCUGAUUGUGGGAAUACGAUGUCUUACUCUGGCAGGAAAAUCCUUCACACCCACCUGCUUUACAAGGGUUUCUUGCCACACUAUAAUGUUUGGACGAGGCACGGAGAAAUAGGGGUUAUGAUGGAAGACGACGAAGAAGAAGAGUACGAUGACAACUAUGUGCCCCCUGAAUACCGUGAUGCUGCAACGGGGGGAGCUGGUGAAGAUCAAUAGGAACCAGACGAUGUGCCCAAUGAUGCUGCAAAGGGUGAAGCUGCUGAAGAUCAAGAGGAACCAGACGAUGUGCCCGAUGAUGAUGAUCUCCGCCGGGUCAUUGUCGAUGCAAGGACGCAAUGUGAAAGUCAAAAGGAGAAGCUGAAGUUCGAUCGCAUGUUAGAGGAUCACAAAAAAGGGUUGUACCCCAAUUGCGAAGAUGGCAACACAAAGCUCGGUACCGUACUGUAAUUGCAGCGGUGGAAGGCAGAGAAUGCUGUGCCUGACAAAGGAUUUGAGAAGCUACUGAAAAUAUUGAAGAAGAAGUUUCCAACACCGGCACCACCGUGGUGAGCCUCUUGUUCUUAUUUUCUUUCUGAAAGGAAAAAAUAUUCUUACUUGUAUGUUUACAUAGAUACUUGUAUUAUUUUCUUACUUUUAUUAUUGCAUCUUAUAUAGUGCGAUGGUUUUGGUAUCCUCCCCUGUCGGCCCUCGUCCUGUCUAUGAUUCGGAUGUGGUAUAUAUUAUCUUUUUAUAACUAUUUGGUUCAUUUAUUGUUUAUGACAAUUAUGCCGACCAACGUGACAUAGAUUUUAUUUAUUUAGAAGGUGGUUGAACCGGAAAUUUCAACCGACCCUAUUGUCGAGAGGUUAAAUUUAGUUGAAGAAGAAAACAAUUUCUUGAAGGAAAAAAUAAAAAAAUUGAGGAGGAGAAGAUGAUAUUGGAGUUGCAUGUUGCGGAUGUCGUCGAUGAUCACAAGAUCAAGAUGGAUGCAAUGCGGUUGAAGAUUAGAAAUAUUAGAAAAUAUGCCAUUCAUACCGAGGAUUGGUAUCAUUAUGCCAUUGGAUCAAUUGUUACCUUGGUUGCGAUUAUGAUCGCAUUUGUUUUCGCAUUGAAAUGUUUUACAUAGUUUCAAUGUAUGGUGAAAGUUAAUUAGAUGCUCUGGAGAGCUAUAUGUUGUUAGAUGAGAACUAUGUAUGUACUUUGGUUUUAAUGUGAUGAUGAACUUCUAUUAAUUUGGUCACUUAAUUAUCUAUUCAUGUUGUUCUGUAAUGGUUUUUGACACACUUAAUUAUAUAUAAUGCAGGCAGAUGAACCGGCAAUGGAUGUAUGGUGACAGACACACCUUCGAGUACAUUAAGGGCGUGCAUGAGUUUCUUGAUGCGACUGAGGCAAAGAAGCAGAAUGGUUUUAUGUGUUGUCCAUGCACUAAAUGUGGGAAUACGAUGUCUUACUCUAACCGGAAAAUCCUUCACUCCCACCUGCUUUACAAGGGUUUCAUGCCACACUAUAAUGUUUGGACGUGGCACGGAGCAAUAGGGGUUAUGAUGGCAGACGGCGAAGAAAAGAGUACGAUGACAACUAUGUGCCCCCUGAAUAUGGUGAUGCUGCAACGGGGGGAGCUGGUGAAGAUCAAGAGGAACAAGAUGAUGUGCCCAAUGAUGCUGCAACGGGUGAAGCUACUGAAGAUCAAGAGGAACCAAACGAUGUGUCCGAUGAUGAUGAUCUCCACCGGGUCAUUGUCGAUGCAAGGACGCAAUGCGAAAGUCAAAAGGAGAAGCUGAAGUUCGAUCGCAUGUUAGAUGAUCACAAAAAGGGUUGUACCCCAAUUGCGAAGAUGGCAACACAAAGCUCGGUACCAUACUGGAAUAGCUGCAGUGGAAGGCAGAGAAUGUUGUGGCUAACAAAGGAUUUGAGAAGCUACUGAAAAUAUUGAAGGAGAAGCUUCCAAAGGAUAACGAAUUGCCCGACAGUACAUAUGCAGCAAAGAAGGUCGUAUUCCCUCUAGGAUUGGAGGUGCAGAAGAUACAUGCAUGCCCUAAUGACUGCAUCCUCUACCGCGGUGCAUACAAGGAUCUGAACGCAUGCCCGGUAUGCGGUGCAUUGCGGUAUAAGAUCAAACGAGAUGACCCUGGUGAUGUUGACGGCGAGCCCCCCGGGAAGAGGGUUCCUGCGAAGGUGAUGUGGUAUGCUCCUAUAAUACCACGGUUGAAACGUCUGUUUAGAAACGGAAAGCAUGCCAAGUCGGUGCGAUGGCACAGUGAGGACCGUAAGAAAGACGGGAAGUUGAGAGCACCUGCUGACGGGUCGCAGUGGAGAAAAAUCGUGAGAAAGUACUGGGAUGAGUUUGCAAAGGAUCCAAGGAACGUAUGGUUUGCUUUAAGCGCGGAUGGCAUUAAUCCUUUCGGGGAGCAGAGCAGCAAUCACAGCACCUGGCCGGUCACUCUAUGUAUGUAUAACCUUCCUCCUUGGAUGUGCAUGAAGCAGAAGUUCAUUAUGAUGCCAGUUCUCAUCCAAGGCCCUAAGCAACCCGGCAACUACAUUGAUGUGUACCUAAGGCCAUUAGUUGAAGAAUUUUUACAGCUGUGGAAUGGAAACGGUGUACGUACGUGGGAUGAGCACGGACAAGAGGAAUUUAACCUAAAGGCGUUGUUGUUCGUGACCAUCAACGAUUGGCCCACUCUCAGUAACCUUUCAGGACAGACAAACAAAGGAUACCACGCAUGCACACACUGUUUAGAUGACACUGAAAGUAUAUACCUGGACAAAUGCAGGAAGAAUGUGUACCUGGGCCAUCAUCGAUUUCUUCCGACCAACCAUCAAUGUCGAAAGAAAGGCAAGCAUUUCAAAGGCGAGGCAGAUCACCGGAAGAAGCCCGCCAUGCGUACCGGUGAUCACGUACUUGCUAUGGUCAAUGAUUUACACGCAAUCUUUGGAAAGGGUCCCGGCGCACUAGCUGUUCCGGAUGACGCUGAGGGACACGCACCCAUGUGGAAGAAGAAAUUUAUAUUUUGGGACCUACCCUACUGGAAAGACCUAGAGGUCCGCUCUUCAAUCGACGUGAUGCACGUGACGAAGAACCUUUGCGUGAACCUGCUAGGCUUCUUGGGCGUGUAUGGAAAGACAAAAGAUACACCUGAGGCAUGGGAGGACCUGCAACGUUUGCACGAAAAAGACGGCAUGCCUCAGAAGCGGUAUGAAGGUCCUGCCAGCUACGCUCUUAUGAAAGAAGAGAAAGAAAUCUUCUUUGAAUGCCUGCUCAGUAUGAAGGUCCCGACUGGCUUCUCGUCGAAUAUAAAGGGAAUAAUAAAUAUCCCAGAGAAAAAGUUCCAGAACCUAAAGUCUCAUGACUGCCACGUGAUUAUGACGCAACUGCUUCCGGUUGCAUUGAGGGGGCUUCUACCGGAAAACGUCCGAUUAGCCAUUGUGAAGCUAUGUGCAUUUCUCAAUGCAAUCUCUCAGAAGGUGAUCGAUCCAGAAAUGGUACCAAGGCUAAGGAGUGAUGUGGCGCAAUGUCUUGUCAGUUUCGAGCUGGUGUUCCCACCAUCCUUCUUCAAUAUCAUGACGCAUGUCCUAGUUCAUCUAGUCGAUGAGAUUGUCAUUCUGGGGCCCGUAUUUCUACACAAUAUGUUCCCCUUUGAGAGGUUCAUGGGAGUGCUAAAGAAAUAUGUCCGUAACCGCGCUAGGCCAGAAGGAAGCAUCUCCAUGGGCCAUCAAACAGAGGAUGUCAUCGGGUUUUGUGUUGACUUCAUUCCUGGCCUUAAGAAGAUAGGUCUCCCUAAAUCGCGGUAUGAGGGGAGACUGACUGGAAAAGGCACGCUAGGAGCGGACUCAAUAAUAUGCAGGGACGGGCAUUCUUGCUCUCAAGCACACUACACAGUUCUACAUAACUCUACCUUGGUGACCCCGUAUGUCGAUGAACACAAGAACAGUCUGCGCUCCAAACACCCGGAGCAGUGCGACGACUGGAUUACAUGUGAACACAUUAGGACUUUCAGCAGUUGGUUGGAAGCACGUCUUAGAGGUCACAACACUGUUUGUGAUGAGUUGUACUUGUUGUCCAGGGGACCAUCUUUGACUGUAUUGAUUUACAAAGGAUACGAGAUAAAUGGGAAUACAUUCUACACGAUUGACCAAGAUCAAAAGAGCACCAACCAAAACAGCGGUGUCCGCUUUGAUGCAACAACCGAGAAGGGAAAGGACACAUAUUGUGGUUACAUAGUGGACAUAUGGGAACUUGACUACGGACAAGAUUUUAAGGUCCCUUUGUUUAAGUGCAAAUGGGUCAAUCUGUCAGGAGGCGGGGUACAUGUAGACCCGCAGUACGGAAUGACAACAGUCGAUCUGAAAUAUCUUGGGUACACUGACGAACCGUUCGUCCUAGCCAAUGAUGUGGCACAUGUUAUCUAUGUGAAGGACAUGUCUACCAGACCAAGAAAAAGAAAAGAUAAGGAAACGAAUACAUCAUACGAUGAGCCAAAGCGCCACAUAGUUCUUUCAGGAAAAAGGAACAUCCUGGGAGUGGAGGGCAAGACAGACAUGUCUGAAGAUUAUGAAAGGUUUCAUGAAAUUCUUCCCUUGAAUGUCAAGGCUGACCCAAGCAUCCUGAUAAACGAUGAAGAUUAUCCAUAGUUACGGCACAAUAAGCAAAUGACACAAGCGAAGAAAAAGUGAAGACUUUCUCCCGUAACUAUUAUGAUGAUACCAUGCCAAAUUUAUAACAGACGAGUAUGCUAUGCCAACUUUUCAGAGUUCAUUUGAAAACUAUGAAUUUAGGUCGAAUUUUCUCUAUAGGUGCAUCUAUGUACAUUUUUUUAGUAAAGUUAAUCACAAACUUGUGAUUCACACAAAUUUUGAAGAAUUCAAAUUUUAACUAUUCAAAUUUGAAAACUAAUGGCACUAACAGAAAGUUUAUAUUUUUCCUAAAACUAAUGGCACUAACAGAAAGUUUAUAAUUUUGCUGACCUAAAAGCAAAAAAGAAUUAAAAAAUAAAGCAAGAAACAAAAUAAAAUAAAUAAAGCAACAAAGAAAACUAAAAAACUAAAAAAGUGUUUUCAAAUUUGAAAACUAAUGGCACUAACAGAAAGUUUAUAAUUUUUUUAAAACUAAAAGCUAAAAGAAUUAAAAAAUAAAGCAAGAAACAAAAGAAAAUAAAUAAUGCAGAAAACAAAAAAAACUGGAAAAAAACUAAAUAUAGCAAAAUAAGUAUUUAGUUCUAAGUNNNNNNNNNNNNNNNNNNNNNNNNNNNNNNNNNNNNNNNNNNNNNNNNNNNNNNNNNNNNNNNNNNNNNNNNNNNNNNNNNNNNNNNNNNNNNNNNNNNNNNNNNNNNNNNNNNNNNNNNNNNNNNNNNNNNNNNNNNNNNNNNNNNNNNNNNNNNNNNNNNNNNNNNNNNNNNNNNNNNNNNNNNNNNNNNNNNNNNNNNNNNNNNNNNNNNNNNNNNNNNNNNNNNNNNNNNNNNNNNNNNNNNNNNNNNNNNNNNNNNNNNNNNNNNNNNNNNNNNNNNNNNNNNNNNNNNNNNNNNNNNNNNNNNNNNNNNNNNNNNNNNNNNNNNNNNNNNNNNNNNNNNNNNNNNNNNNNNNNNNNNNNNNNNNNNNNNNNNNNNNNNNNNNNNNNNNNNNNNNNNNNNNNNNNNNNNNNNNNNNNNNNNNNNNNNNNNNNNNNNNNNNNNNNNNNNNNNNNNNNNNNNNNNNNNNNNNNNNNNNNNNNNNNNNNNNNNNNNNNNNNNNNNNNNNNNNNNNNNNNNNNNNNNNNNNNNNNNNNNNNNNNNNNNNNNNNNNNNNNNNNNNNNNNNNNNNNNNNNNNNNNNNNNNNNNNNNNNNNNNNNACCAAAGGCCGCCGCUUCCCGCCCUUUGGGCUGCUGAAAAGGGACCUUUGGUCCCGGUUGGUGGCACCAACCGGGACUAAAGGGGGGCAUCCAUUGGUCCCGGUUGGUGCCAUGAACCGGGACCAAAGCCUUUUCUAUAUAAGCAAACACUUAGCAGUUUUCGACCAAAUCACGCACUUCUCCCCCGACGCCCCCUGCUCCUCCUCGUCACCGUCGCCGCCCGACGCCCCUGCUCCUCCUCGUCGCCAUCGCCACCGACGCCGUCAGGCUGCUCGCCUUCACCGUCGCUGCCGCCACCGACGCCGUCAGGCUGAUCACCUUCGCCGUCACCGCCGCCCCCUGUGAGCACAGCCCCCUUCCGUCCCACGCCCCUGCGCCCCUCUCCUGCGCGGCCGCCGCACCGCCGCCCCUGCCCUGCGCGGCUGCCGUGCGCCGCCCCUGCCCUGCCCGCCGGUGCCACCGCUGCCGGCAUGCCCCUCUGCCCCGCCAGCGCCAACAAUUUUUUUAUUAGUUUAUUUUUUUCAUAUAUAUAUAAUGUAUGUGUAUGUAUGUGGCUAUAUGUUUCUGUUCAUAUGUUGCAAUAUGUCUUUUUAUUUUUAUUAGUUUAUUUUUUUGUUCAUAUGUGAUGUAUAUGUGUAUGUGGCUAUAAUGUAUAUGUGUAUGUGAUGUAUGUGGCUAGAAUUUGCUAAAUAUAUAUGUUAAAAAUGUUUUUUUGUUCAUAGAAAGUUUUUUGUUCAUAUAUAGAAAGUUACAAUUUUAGAAAAGUUUUAUAUAUGCAAAAGUUACAAUUUUAGAAAAAGAAGGAUAGGAAAGAAGAAAAUAAGAAGAGGAAAGAAAGAAGAAGAGGAGAGGAAAAGAAGAGGAGAAAUAAAUAAGAAGAAGAAAAAAGAAGAAAAAGAAGAGGAGAANNNNNNNNNNNNNNNNNNNNNNNNNNNNNNNNNNNNNNNNNNNNNNNNNNNNNNNNNNNNNNNNNNNNNNNNNNNNNNNNNNNNNNNNNNNNNNNNNNNNNNNNNNNNNNNNNNNNNNNNNNNNNNNNNNNNNNNNNNNNNNNNNNNNNNNUUCUUCUUUUCUUCUUCUUCUUCUUCUUCUUAAUUUUUAUCGGGAACGAGGGUGUCGAGGAUCGCCGAGGGGUGGAGGGUCGGGAACUAGGGUGGAGGGUUCGAGGGGUCGAGGAUCGCUCGGCACUAGGCAACCUCCCGACCCCUCGGCGAUCCUCUCGAACAUGAGAGGACGAAGAGUAUAAAAAAAGAAGAGGAAGAAGAAAAAAAGAGGAGAAGAAAGAAUAGAGGAGUUCUUCUCCUCUAUUCUUUCUUCUCCUCUUUUUUUUCUUAUUCUUCCUCUUUUUUUUAUCGGGAACGAGGGUCGUCGAGGGACAUAGAUGUAGUGUCGUCGUUGUCGAUAUACCCCCUCCCGAUAGGUUCAACACGUGGGGGGGGGGGUCGAUUUUACCCCCUCCUUGAAGCAUUCUCGAGGCCACCCUAAACCCUUGAAGCGUUGUCGAGGCCACCCCAAACCCUAGAGAAGCAGCGUCGAGGUCACUAAUUAAUAUAUAUGAUUCCUUACUAUGUUUAGCUAGCUAGUUCUAUGUUUGCCACUAAUAUAUCCAUUUGUCAUGUUUGAAUAAUAAUUGCCAUGUUGUAAAUAUUUGUAGAAACUAUGGACACCGCCCGAGACGAAGCAAACGAAGCGAUGUUAAGGGACAUAAUCGCACAAGGAAGUGAUGCCGUCUCGUUGUUUCUCAACGACACCGAUGGUCUGGAAGGAGAGGGUGAAGAAGCUGGCUCUGGUGACCUAAUGCCGGUGCAAGAAGAAGAACGUCAGGACGGCUCCGGUGACCCAAUGCCGGUGAAAGAAGGAGACCGUGAUGACGGCUCCGGUGACCGAACCGAGUCCGGCCAGGUAUAUAUAUUAGUUAAGCCUAUGUUGACUAGCUAAUUGAUGCAUUCAUUAUUUUGGUAUGUACACAUAUUAAUUAAGUUUUUGAUCUUUUUUCUAGCCCUCCGGAUCGAGCACAACUGAGGUAAAGAGACGAGGCCCGAAGAAAAAGUUGAGCUCAGAUGAAAGGUUUGAGAUCAUAGCAAUCGCACCCUACGGCCAACCUAUUGAACCCAUCCGAACAAAGAAGGCAUUUGUUGCUCAGUGCGGGGUUCUGGUUAGGGACAAGAUCCCGAUCAGCAUCCAGCAAUGGUUAAAGCUGGCUACAGAAGAAUGAUAUGCAGAAAAAUGAUCUUUGGACUGAGCUGAAGACAAAUUUCACCCUACCACCAGAGGAUGAUCCGGAGAAGCCAGUUAAAGAGGAAUUAAUCAAGUCUUUUGCUCUUAAGAGGAUGGCAGACCUAUUCAGGAGGUGGAAGAAAGACCUGAAUAGGUUUGUCGAGAAAAAAGAGACACCAGAAUUCAAGGGCAUAUAUGAGAAGAUCAGAGAUGACUGGCCUGCAUUUGUGGCCCACAAGACAUCGGCAAAGAGUAAGAAGAUGUCGGCGACAAACAAGAAAAAUGCUGCGAAGAAGAAGCUUCACCAUCGCACGGGGUCAGGUGGCUACCUCGUAGCCCGGCCUAAGUGGGCCAAGGCUGAGAAUGAUCUGGUUGCAAAAGGGAUCAAACCAGAGACAAUGAGCUGGCCAGACCGUUGCCGGACUUGGUUCUUCAGGGCUGGCGGAACCUUGGACCCUGUAACAGGGAAGUGCAUUUGGACGGAUGAGCAACUUGACAUACCCUUGAAGAAGCUUCGGUACUAUAUUGCUGCAGCGCAGAAAGGGACGUUCCUUCCAGACAGAGAGAACGACGAGCUCACAAAGGCCCUCGGAAAUCCUGAGCACCCUGGACGGACAUGAGGCACGCCAGGCUCCAUUCCGUGGAAGGCUGGGUUUCCGGACGCAGGCGGUUACAAAAGCCACGAGAGGAGGAAAAAAGUGUAGUAGACCGAACUCCAGGCGCUGCACGCAAGGGUACAAGCGAUAGAGGAACGAGAAGCAAAUCGCAGCAAACGACUUGCCGAAGCUUCCCCUGAAGCUACCCCGCCAUCUCAGCGGAGAAGCAGCGUGGCUUCCACCGAGCUGCUUCAGCCGCAGCUUGUCUUGACUGCUCCUGCCAGCUAUCCCGUGGAUGCUAUCACGGAGGCUCAAAAUUGCCACCUUAUGACGCAAUGGAUUAAUAUGAAGGUCAAGGCGGCUGUUGGCUCUAUUUUUCCUAAUGAACCCGGCAUAACUUUUCACUGCCGGCCGAUUCCAGAAGGAUAUGCUAAGGUGAUGGUGGAUGAAAUAACAGAAGGAUUUGAGGACCUCCAGCUUGACCACCCUACCGGAGAAGGGGAGACUCGGCUGGGUUCUUCUCUGAAGACUCCAUGCCUAUGGCGGAAGGAGCUCAUCAACCUUCCGAACUGGACGCCUCCGCCUCCUCCUCCUCCUCCGGCGAGUCAGGGAACUCCGCCUCCUCCACCGCCUCCUCCUCCGGCGAGUGACGAUCAGGGCCCUCGGCCAGCUCCUUCUCUGGCGCGUGGCGGCACUCCGCCUCCUUCUCCGCCUGCGCCGGCGCGCCCGAGCAGCCAUCCUCCUCCUUCUCCGCCUCGUCAGCAAGGGCGGAAGAGACCCGCCGCCGCUCCGGCAGCUGCUCCGGCGCGUCGUAGUCCUUCUCCUCCGCCUCGUAAGCAAGUAAAUAAGACGGUCGCUCCGUCUGUUCGGCCGGCGUCUAGCAGUACAGCCAGAGGCGGGAGGACAUACAGAUUCGGUCCUUCUCUGAAGACUCCAGAGAAGUUACCAUACGAGAGGACCCCGGAGGAGAACGCGAGGAUUGCGCGAACCGAGGUGGAUGACUGAUUUCAAGGGUUGAAAGCAAAGAGACAUCCACCUCCGGAAGAGAAGGUAGAUCCGGUGAAAGUGAAGCGCACUCUGCCUGCCCUGGCAAAACCACCCAAGUCUCCGCCGAAAGGCAACUAUGAGCGCAUUAUUGCAAAGACAUGGGCCGAAGCAGAGCGUUCGGGAAGUACAGUCAGUGAUCAAAGGCUGAAAGAACGACGAGCAGCUGGGAAACAAAUUGCCCAGCUCGGCGAACAAGCAAAGCAAUCGUGCCCCCCGCUCAAGGUGCCUAGCGACAUCGUCGAUCCGAGGAUGGUGCCCGGUUAUAGCAAUCUUGACGAUUACCUACCCGACGAAGUACAUUAUGAUCCCAUGGAUGUGUAGAUACACAGAUACGAGUACGGGAAGCCUCUCGUCAAAGAUGAAAAAUCUCUAUCAACGAUGAUGCGAAGAUUGCAUGAUUGGUACUUGAAAAUCUGCAGAGAGUCAGGGGGAGGAGUACUUUGUAUGCGAGAAUUAAACCGGAGCAUGACCUCGUUGGAAUUGAACUGUUGCCUAUUCAAUUUGAGGAGUUCUAUCAGUUUUUCAAUCAAUUGGCCCUCGAUAAAACAACGGUCACCUGCUACUGUCUGUAAGUACUACUACUUCUGUCAUUAAGUCUCUCUAUAUAGCUCAGCUCUUUCAUUGCAUGUAUUUAUAAUUAUCCUCACUAUAUUAUGCAGAUUGAAAAUCGCCGAAUUGAAGAAAAGACAAAUCGGUGAUAUUGGGUUCGUUAACACAUAUCUCAUAGAUGCAACUGAGGUUGACAAAAGGCCCAAAGAAACCGAGGCCAACUUGCUACGAUCAUUCAAAAUAAAUGAACACAAAGAUAUAAUACUCUUUCCUUACAACUUCAAGUGAGUGUUACUAUCUUGUGCAUAUUCGGUUUCCCUUAUAUAUUAGUCCAGGUUAUAGUAAUGUAAUUGAUGAGUUAUGCAUGCGUGCGCAGGUACCACUAUAUUCUCCUAGAGAUUAUUCUUGAGAAGGGAGUAGUAACUAUCUUGGACUCUAGACGAAAAGAUCCCCAGGAGUAUGCGGACAUGACUGAAAUCCUCAAGAAGUAAGUUAAAUCGAUCAUUAUCCACCAUAUCAGCAACUUUGUUCAUUUCCUGAUAUCAACUAAUUGUUUUCUUUGUCUGGCAGGGUUUGGAGAAAAUUCACCAAAAAAGCUCCGGGACUGCCGAAGGAGCUGCAAAUUAGACACCCGAAAGUAAGUACUAUAGUAGCAUGUUCCGCGCAUCUCCUAGUGAUUCAAGCGCUAGUUUCAUCAAUAUCAUUUGGCAUUCUUGCUUAUCAGUUUGAUUGACCUCUAUUUCUUGUAAAGUGGUUGUGGCAGGAACAAGUAAAUGAUUUCUGUGGAUACUACGUCUGCGAGUCCAUCCGCCACACGACCUGUGAGCGGGGCGGGUACACUGACGAACAAUAUGAAGUGCGUAAAUAACAAUAUUCACAAUUUUAUUUUAUUACCAUCAUUUGUGUUGAGUUUCAUUCAUUUAUAUAUAUAUAUAUAUAUGUAUUGACCCCCUUCUUCAAAUUAGAUGUUUCGGAUGCGGAAUGAACUCCUAGCACCAGAUCGCAUGCGAGCAAUUCAAGAGGAAUUGGCGGCAUUCUUUCUUGACCACGUGAUCGCUGAAGACGGAGAAUACUAUGUGGACCAUGCGUCCAUAAUGUAGGAGAUUAUAUUUGUAAGAGAUAAUUAUUGUAUAUAUGUAGCCGGUAGUGUCGGACGAUAGAUAUACGAGAACUUGUUGUUCGACCAAUCUCUCGGAGAAGGAGAGGUGGUCGAUAUCACUUCUCUCUGUAUGCAUAUAUGUUCAUGACGAUCUUCUGUUUCCUUCAUUUGCUUACUAGCUAGCUAGCGUGUCUAGUCCUCUCUAUACGUAUGUAUAGUUUACGUAGCGUCGACCAAGCACGGACAUAAGAGAGGACACUUCUCUCUGUUAAUUAGCUAUCUAACACAAUAUAUGAAAUACCUAAAUUAACCCCCAAAACUGUUGGGGAACGUAACAGAAAUUCAAAAUUUUCCUACGUGUCACCAAGAUCUAUCUAUGGAGAGACCAGCAACGAGGGGAAGGAGAGUGCAUCUACAUACCCUUGUAGAUCACUAAGCGGAAGCGUUCAAGUGAACGGGGUUGAUGGAGUCGUACUCGUCGUGAUCCAAAUCACCGAUGAUCCUAGUGCCGAACGGACGGCACCUCCGCGUUCAACACACGUACAGCCCGGUGACGUCUCCCAUGCCUUGAUCCAGCAAGGAGAGAGGGAGAGAUUGAGGAAUACUCCAUCCAGCAGCAGCACAAUGGCGUGGUAGUGGUGGAGGAGCGUGGCAAUCCUGCAGGGCUUCGCCAAGCACCACAGGAGAGGAGAAGGACUUGGGAGAGGGGAAGGGCUGCACCAAAGGCAAAAAGGUGAGAAGUCCUCCAUCUCCCUACUAUAUAUAGGGGGGCCAAGGGGGGCGCCGGCCCUAGGAGAUCCAAUCUCCUAGGGGGGGGCGGCGGCCAAGGGAGGAAUCCCUCCUCCCCAAGGCACCUAGGAGGUGCCUUCCCCUUCUGGACUCUUCCUUUAGGGUUUCCCCCACACUAUGCGCAUGGGCCCUAGGGGAAAGUGGCGCCCCAGCCCACUUUGGGCUGGAUCCCUUCCCACUUCAGCCCAUGGGACCCUCCGGGAUAGGUGGCCCCACCCGGUGGGCCCCCGGGACCCUUCCGGUGGUCCCGGUACAAUACCGAUGACCCCAAAACUUGUCCCGAUGGCCGAAAUAGGACUUCCUAUAUAUAAAUAUUUACCUCCGGACCAUUUCGGAACUCCUCGUGACGUCCGGGAUCUCAUCCGGGACUCCGAACAACAUUCGGUAACCACAUACAAACUUCCUUUAUAACCCUAGCGUCAUCGAACCUUAAGUGUGUAGACCCUAUGGGUUCGGGAGACAUGCAGACAUGACCAAGACGUUCUCCGGUUAAUAACCAACAGCGGGAUCUGGAUACCCAUGUUGGUUCCCACAUGUUCCACGAUGAUCUCAUCGGAUGAACCACGAUGUCAAGGACUUAAUCAAUACCGUAUACAAUUCCCUUUAUCUAUCGGUACGAUACUUGCCCAAGAUUCGAUCGUCGGUAUCCCGAUACCUUGUUCAAUCUCGUUACCGGCAAGUCUCUUUACUCGUUCCGUAACACAUCAUCCCGUGAUCAACUCCUUGGUCACAUUGUGCACAUUAUGAUGAUGUCUUACCGAGUGGGCCCAGAGAUACCUCUCCGUCACAUGGAGUGACAAAUCCCAGUCUCGAUUCGUGCCAACCCAACAGACACUUUCGGAGAUACCCGUAGUGCACCUUUAUAGUCACCCAGUUACGUUGUGACGUUUGGCACACCCAAAGCACUCCUACGGUAUCCGGGAGUUGCACAAUCUCAUGGUCUAAGGAAAUGAUACUUGACAUUAGAAAAGCUUUAGCAUACGAACUACACGAUCUUGUGCUAGGCUUAGGAUUGGGUCUUGUCCAUCACAUCAUUCUCCUAAUGAUGUGAUCCCGUUAUCAACGACAUCCAAUGUCCAUGGUCAGGAAACCGUAACCAUCUAUUGAUCAACGAGCCAGUCUACUAGAGGCUUAUUAGGGACAUGGUGUUGUCUAUGUAUCCACACAUGUAUCUGAGUUUCCUAUCAAUACAAUUAUAGCAUGGAUAAUAAACGAUUAUCAUGAACAAGGAAAUAUAAUAAUAACUUAUUUAUUAUUGCCUCUAGGGCAUAUUUCCAACAAAAACCCCCUACCCCCUUAAAAAAAACAAAAACCCCAGCCACAGAAAUGCUGACGCGUGGAGGCCUAUUGGUCCCGGUUGGUGCCACGAACCGGGACCAAAGGCCCUCCAGCCUGGGCUCAGCGCGCAGGCCACGUGAAGGCUCAUCUGUCCCGGUUCUGGUUAGAACCGGGACUAAAGGGUCAGGGCAUUAGUAACGACCCUUUAGUCCCGGUUCAGGAACCGAGACAAAAAGCCUUUAUGAACCGGGACAAUAGGCCCGUUUUCUACUAGUGAGAGCAGGCGGCUGCUUUAAAUGAUUACACCAGCAUGUUGAAAUAUUGUUUUCCUUUGUACAAAAGGUUGUGAUAUAUUUUGGGACCUCUACAGCUUCAAUCGUGAUUCACGGUAGCAGCAGUAGGUUCGAGUCCUCGGAUGAACCCAUGGAUUAUGAACACGAGUCCUUCAUGAGGUUAAUAAAUUAUAUAUGCCCCCUUUUUCCUCAAGAAGGUGUAUUUUCUACUCACACUGGGCUCGCCAUACCAAUGUUUUAGGAACUCGGAGUCCCGUGGUAUUGGAAUGCCUGGAGAUCUGAAUCAGACAGAUGCUGGCCAUUGCUCGAGGUAUCCCCAAAUGUCAGGUUUAUCCUUUUGUGAAACAUAUAUGCCAUUUGAGAUUUCAAGAAUAAAAGCACUAUCAUUUUAGAAAGCCCGUAGAAGUAAUUAGGUUUGAUUGCAUCACAUCUAGCUUAUCGUAUUUAUUCUGUUAUUAGCAUCCUCUGAUCACAAAACAUACUCCCUCCGUCUAGAUGUGUAAGUCACCUUACGAAAACCAAAUAAUCCCAAAACACCUAGGCACGGACAUUAACUCCCUCCUCGUUUCUUGUUUUGUGACAUAUCAACCAAUAAGAGACGUGGGCCGUGCAUGCUUUCAAUGACUUGAGACUACCAAACAUGACAUGCACUGGUUAGUUCAUUGCAUGCAAUGCUAUUAAUAAGCAAAAAGACAUUAAGUUUUCUCGUUUUCCUCUCCGCCUUGGUCGAGGUGCACAAUGUAAGAUGACUUACACACCUAGACGGAGGGAGUAUGUUUUCUCAUUGUCUCCUGGGUUGUCAACAGGGAGAAAGGAAGUGUUCACACUCUCGUCACCAUGGAUAUAACGGAUAUUACUACAGUCACUAUUGGAAUCAAUGAGUAUGUCAAUCUUUUUCAGUGGGCUAGAUCUACUAUUUCAUCCAAAUGGAGAGGCACUCAGGAGCAAGGGUUUCAAAAUAAAUUAUUUCACUUGCAGAGUGUCUUGCAACGCCUCAGUGACAGUCUUCCGGAAAUGUAUGACCCCAUUAAUCGAGCGGAGUGGAGAAGCCACAAAGAUGGCGUGGCCGAGCUCCUUCCAAAACUCAAGGAUGUAGUCUAUGAUGUUGAAGACCUUCUUGACGAGCUGAGAUGGUACAACCAUAAGGUGAUAGUGGAGGGCAAUGCAAGCCAAUUAUCUAUUACUGACUUCUUUAACAGCUUCAUCAAUGUGAAUGAUAUCCAUGAAAGGCUAGAUCAUAUUUCCAAUCGCCUGGAUAAAAAGGGGUUGGGUGAACUGACACCACGGUUUGACAGAACAGUCAGGCCAGAGACUAGCUCUUUCCCCAAUGAAACAAAAAUAUUUGGUCGUCACAUGGAGCUAAAGCGCAUAUUAAGAGUGCUCGGUGUGCCUACACACAGUCAUUCGGAACACAAGUGGGUAAGUAGUGCUAAUGAAUCAAGAUUACCCAAUCUUCCUGUUUUGUCGAUAGUUGGAAGUGGGGGUGUUGGAAAGACUACUCUGGCCCAACAUAUCUGUAGUCAUCCACAAGUGAAGUCUCACUAUGACACAGUGAUUUGGAUUUGCGUCUCAGAUGAUUUCGACGAGAAGAGGCUAACUAAAGAGGCUAUAGAAUCAUGUCCCGGUAAAGAGGCAACAACUAACAAUCUUAAUUCUCUUCAGCAUGCUCUUUCUGACAUACUAGACAACAGAAAGUUCUUGAUUGUCCUUGAUGAUUUGUGGGAUGAUGCUCUGAAGGAAAAUGGCCAGUGCUGGAAGAGGUUUUGUGCACCUUUGAAAAAUGUGCUACAAGGAAGUAUGAUGUUAGUCACCACCAGAUCUCCAAAAGUUGCUGAUUUAGUAUGCACAAUGGAGCCAAUUAUAUUAGAGGGUUUAAAGGAUGAUGAAUUUUGGAAUUUCUUCAAACUGUGUGUGUUUGGAUCUGAGAGUUCCAAUGAUUUUCCAGAGUUGGAUCUCAUUGGUAGAAAUAUACUUCCUAAAUUGAAAGGCUCUCCUUUAGCGGCUAGAACUCUUGGACGUAUGUUACAGGAUGACCUUCGUACAUCACAUUGGAAUAAUAUACUAGACAGUGAAUUGUGGGAGUUGGACCAAGAGAGGACUGAAAUUGUGCCAGCUCUACGGUUGAGCUACAUAUAUUUACCAUUCCACUUGAAGAGAUGUUUUUCAUUUUGUGCUGUGUAUCCCAAAGAUAAGGAGUUUGAAAAGGAUAACAUAGCAGAAAUUUGGGCAGCAGAAGGAUUUGUGAAAUGUCAAGGUGUUGUUCCACUUCAAGAUAUUGGUUGUCAAUACUUUAAUGACCUUUUAAAUCGGUCCUUCUUUCAAGAAGUUCAAGGCAAAUACUUAAUCCAUGACUUGUUGCAUGAUAUGGCACAAAAAGUUUCCGAGGAUGAUUGUUUCAUUGUGAAAAGGACGGUUGACUUCAAAAGGAUUCCUCGGAAUGUCCGGCAUUUGACAGUACUCACUGGCAAAGAGAUAUAUAAUUCUGACUUGUCGAGCCUAUGCCAGUACAAAAAACUUCAUACCCUUCUUUGCAACAAACAUUUGGGAAAUAAAAAAACCCCAACUCAUUUGGUGGAAGAUUGGUGCAAUGAACUUCCGCGUAUGCGUGUGAUUGUUUGUGCAACCAUGAAUGAGUUACCAGCUAGCAUUGGCAAAUUGAAGCAUCUUCGAUACCUUGAGAUAUCCAGAUCAUGUUCUGUCACCAGUUUUCCUACAACAUUCUGUAGGCUCCAUAAUUUGCAGGUUUUAUGUGUCAAGCAAUGCCGGGUAGAAAGCUUGCCCAGUGAUUUCAAUAGGUUGAUCAACUUAUGGAGAUUUGAAUCGCAGGGAUUUAAAUAUGGUCCAAAUAUUAGAGGAUUUCCAGAAGAAUAUUAUGGAUUAAAUAUUGAUGCAGCCAGAGAUAAGUCUGGACUAGGAUGUAGGUUGAUAAAAAAUAUGGAGCAACUUCGUGGACAUUUGGUGAUAAACAAUGUUUACAAGCUAAGCAAGGAUCAUUCAGCAGAAGCCAAACUAAAGAAUAAGGAAUGUUUUGACAAGGUGACGCUGGAUUGGAGAAAUCUGGAUAAAAAAUCCAUUGCCACUUCUGUCAGUGAGGAAAACGAGAUAGAAGUCCUUCGAGAUCUACAACCUCCUGCAAGUAUCAAGUCUCUAGUCCUUGACGGGAAUCCAGGUGUUGCUUCUCCGACCUGGUUUAACCCACAAAGCCUGUCAAGCUUAACAUCCGUUUCGUUUCUUCAUUGUAGUCGACUCAGGGUACUUAAUGGCAGCACUAGUUUUUCAUCCCUGACAGAUCUAAUCAUUGAUGGGUGCGACAGUUUAUCAAGUCUCGUACAACUUCUACAUCCAACUUAUCUACCAGCCAUCAAGAGAAUUGCAAUAAUGAAUUGCUGGAGCUUAAUAUCAUUAGGAACCGAAAGAUUUGGGGAUUUUCAUUGCCUUGAAAUAUUCAAGGUGCUGAAUUGUAGAUACAUAAACUCGAGUUUGACUGCCCCCUCUCUCAAGAAGCUCGUGCUAGAUGGUCGCUGUGGGAAUCUCACUGACAAUAUCCAAUGCUGCUCUCUCACCAACUUUUUCCUGAUAGGCGGCAGUCUCACGUCCAUCCAACUACAAAUGUGGAAUCUUCCUGCUCUACGGGAAUUGCAUAUUAAAAAUUGUGAAUCUCUUACAUCUAUUGGAGAAGCUGGACAGGUCUUCCCCAACCUCACUUCCCUAACAAUCAGUUACUGCAGAAAACUGUCAACCAUUCAGAGUAUUCCAUUUACCUCUCUACAGGAAUUGCGCAUUUCAUAUUGUGGAUCCCUUAAAUCUAUUCGACAAAGUGAAUAUCUACCUGCCAUUGAGAGUAUUACAUUUCACUAUUGUCCGCAAUUGUUCAUGUACGAUAAAAGGUUUGGGGGUUUUUCUUCUCUGAAGAAUUUGGAAAUUUCUGACUGCAAGGGUAUCAGCUGGGAGGGGUUGGUGUUAUUACUUAUUACCAUCGUCCCUCCAAAGUCUCCACUUAGAAGACUGUGGGGAUAUCUCUGCAUUUAUUCCUGUAGAAAACUAUAGGAUAGAUGAAUAUUGUUGUUGUGUUGUUUUGAUCUGACCCUCAUAUGGGGUAUAUAUAGAAUACACGAGGGGUAGAGGCUUGGAGUACAAGAUAAGUAAUACAUGGUUUAAACCUAUUCAAUCUACUUAUCUCUAUCUUUAAACCCAAACUAUAUUCUAACAUUCCCCCUCAGUCGUAGCGGGAGUGAAACGGACGAUUGCGACUGGAUUUGAAGUAUCGUGCUCGCGUCGUCUUCUCCGCUUCACCAUCAUCACCUGCAUCUCUAAUGGGUCGACACCUGGGGCGGUGAGUGCGUCCCCUUCCGGUGCCUUCCUUGUCUCUCCUCUAUUCCCUCCCGCAGUCACAGCGGGAGAGGCGUGGACGCUAGCGACGACUCGAACGCUGUUGACUGGAGUUGUUGUCGAUGAGUUGUCGUAGACGUAGACCUGUAUGUCGAUGUCGAGGUAGCCGAUCAUGUUGUUGCCGUGGUCGAGGUAGUCGUGGUCGAUGGUAUAGUCGUCGUGGAUGAUGAAGCCGCAUAAAGCUGGAGGCGCAAAAAAAUACGCUAUGACGGAGCUGGCGGACGUGAACGAUACACUUUGCGGAUGUCAGAGAGUGUCGUCAGCGAUGAGUCAACCGGUUUUGCCAAGACUGGAGGAAGCCCAUCGAGUACAUAUCAAUUUUGCCAGAACCGUGUGACCAUGUAGGGGUCGUCAAUGUAGUGACGCCGUGUCGACGCAGUCAUGCCGUCGUGGAUGACGUGGUCUAUGCCGUCGUCGUGACGCGGUCAUUGCCGUCAUCGUGUUCGCCUCUUGCAGAAAAAUCUGCCAGAGGACGCUGGUUGUCCAUCUUAUGGACGAGGUGGCGGCGGUGUGUCGACGAUGAUGUUGGUGAAGACCACGUUGAUGAAGACCUUGACGAUGUAGUGUCGGCAAUGGCAUUGAUGAAGACCACGUUGAUGAAGACCUUGGCGAUGUAGUGUCGGCGAUGGCCGGCGUGUCGAUGAUGAUGCGUCGCUUGGAGGCGUCCCUUUUGACGACGGGGUGUCGAUGCCAUGUCGUGUCGAAGAAGUCAAUUGUUUGGCGCGAUGUAGUCAUACAGCUUGGUGUUAUGUUCGGCUUGAUGUAGAGGUGUUGGCAUGUUUCAAUCCUCUUCCCCAUUACUUAAAAAAAGUGAGCCACCGGUUUAGGUAUAAGAUACUAUCAUUACCGCCUGGACAAUUACGGUGCAGCCGUGCAGGUAAAGAUCGGCGAUAUAGAUGCUUGCCGGUGGCUUGGCGUAGAUGCGCGAGCCCGAACCAGAUGAUGUGCACGGGUCGCCGAUACCUCCUCGCCCUGCCUGCCGUCAGUGCACGACUCACGGUGCACAAACUGUGUAUCGUCGCUGAAGCUUGCAUGCCACUGGCUGGACCAAUGUGUUGCGUACGGGAGUGCAUGGCUAGAACAUAUGCAUGUCCGUAACUUGCACCCGUUGGUGUUGGAGUAGAUGUGCCGCAGGACGGCAGGAGCGGCUGAUGCUUACGGCGCGCAUGCACGAAGUUGCUGCUGCCGAUCAUGCGGGUCAUCGGGUCGACAAAGUUUGCGCCAGCCGAUGCAUGUGCUGGCCGGCUGAGAUCAUGUAGACGCGUGCGGCCGACUGGAUGAUGUAGGGGCUGCCGGAACAGAUCAGGUCUCAGGGAGCCCCGACGGCGGCGGCAGCUGUUGGCUGCCUCCAUGACCCGAAUCGGAUCCGUGGUUAAGAUCGCCGUAGCAUCGUCACCAUCAUACGCGUCGCUUCACCUGAAUUCGCUCGUGCAGCUGUUGCCGUGGAUGCCGUGGCGUCGCCGGGUAUCGCGUACACGCGGGUGUAGUCGAGGAAGCCAAAGUAGAUCGGAUCGGCGCCUGGAUCUCUCAGCUUGAUCGAAGUUGACGGUGAUGGCGCGAUUGGUGUCGAGGGCUUGGCCGCGUGGGCGCGUGGCGCCGCUCCACCAGGCUGCCUAGGCCCUGCCCGCCGAGCGAUUGCAUCGGCCGGCUGCUCCAGCGCCCGGCUAUGCAUGCGACUGCUCCUGAACCGCCAGCGCCCAGGCUUGCUCCGCUGAUCACGGUGUGUCCGCCACAUGCACCGCGCGCUGCCGUUGCCCUUUUGCCGUCGUUACUGCCGCUGACGGCAGCGGGAUCCAACGAGAGUCGUUGGAGUUCUUGAUAGCGCUGCGAUUUUUGAACUGAUUUUCACCGGAUUUAGUGGGUCGAGGGAUUUAUUUGGUGGCUAGAGAAAAUUUUGAUCUAACAGGAGUUUCGAAAUCUGAAUCUAAAGUUUUAAACUAAUCUAAAGAACCGAUCAAAUCUUUUGAUCGAUCGGGUGCCGCGCCCUCGGGGAGAGGAGAUUAAUCUCCCCAAGGGGCGGCGUGCCGCGGAAGUGGUUGGAGGUCCUAGGAUCGGCGUUGUUGGACAAACUACUCUGAUACCAUGUAGAAACUAUAGGAUAGAUGAAUAUUGUUGUUGUGUUGUUUUGAUCUGACCCUCAUAUGGGGUAUAUAUAGAAUACACGAGGGGUAGAGGCUUGGAGUACAAGAUAAGUAAUACAUGGUUUAAACCUAUUCGAUCUACUUAUCUCUAUCUUUAAACCCGAACUAUAUUCUAACAAUUCCCAGAUGCCUAGAAAACCUCCAAUCCUUGGUUUCACUAAAUAUAGCACACUGUUGGGGUAUAAUAUCCACUCCAGGUCACCUUUGGAGCAGUAGUCUCUCAUCACUCCAGGAAUUACAGAUUCGGAUUUGUAACCGCCUUUUUUCGAUUGGUGGAGCAGAUGACAUUUCGGAAAUACAAAAUGUGUUGAUUGAGGACUGUAGAAAUUUGAAGGGACUAUUGCAGCCAGUGAUAAGAGGCAGCUUCUUGAUAUCGGCGAAACACGAUCAGCCUGUGAAAACAAGGUAUGUGUGUUUACACAAAGUCUUUUUCCGAGUGCACUCAUACAUUGAUGCACCCUUCUUGCAUACAAUUAAACGUCUAUGGAGCAACAUUUUUCUGAUAACCGUACCUGGUAACUGAGUUUCCAAAAACAGCCUUGUGCGUACGGCCUUUUGACAAAUUGUUAAGUGUCGUUGCAGCAUGUAGUCUCAUGUGUUUUUUCUACUACUCAGUGCACUUUCUGAUCACUGAUUUUUUUCUCAUGUAGCUCAAAGUCCGUCUGGUGCAUGCCCACAGGGAUUGAUGAAGGGAAUCGAUGGUGCUAGCUAGCUAGUGCGGCAAAUACCUCUCAGGCGCUGUAAUCUUGUUUUUUGGUUGUUGAUUUGUGCUGUACUGCUUUUAUGUACAUACUUGAUUGGUAGGGUGGAUUUUUGAUGCGCCAGGUUUUUUGUCCCAUAGGUUUUUAUACUCGAGCUGAGUAUAACUAGUGGGUUUUCCUGGCGGAUGUCAAAUUCGCAAACCUUUUCUCUGUUUCUGGGUAUUGUUGCCGAGUAUAACCAGUUGUUCCGUUGAUUCUGUUGAAAAUUUAGUCAGAAUAUGCAUGCUAUACAGUUACUACUCUAUGUCAGAAGUGUUGUAUGUAAGUUCGAUCUGUUGUUAAGUCUACCAGUUCGAGUUCUGAAUAACUUGUUGAUGUCAGUUUUACUUCUGAAUAACUUGGUGACUACGAAUGGUGGAAGUCAUUAUAUUAGUUGAUUGAUCAUGAAUCCUUCAUUUCGUGCUGGGUUGACCAGAAGACUGCUAUUUAUUAUGAAUAACUUUGUGACUACAAAAUGAACCCCCUGAGUUAGAUAUAAAUGGAUCACCUAAGUUUUGAAGUAUGAGUACUAGUAGGAAAUAUGGAACUGAAUCCUUCACAGAGCACAUUAAUCUCUGUUACAUUGACCAGGAAAACUCACGCAAAGUAGAAAAAAUGUUCUAUAAGUUAAAUAGGGAAAACAGGUUUGUUCGAACUUAAUUAGCACCUCACUUUUCCGUACUGACCAUCUCAGAUCGAGACACGCUUACCAAAGAUGCGUGAUGAAGUCAACCAAGAUAACUAUGUACUAUUCCGUAAUCGGUAAUACAGUAGUAUCACUAUCAACCUACAUCUACAUGAGGACCAAACUAGCCUCAGUUUGCUGCAACAGCGUUGUCGUGCCCCCAGCUCCUGGUGCAUCAACAGACAAGAGCACUGAUGGGUCAAAGCUAGCUUCGAAGGAGCACUCGACCCAGGAAGCCCAAGACCUGAAACUGACUGACCCACCUGCGUGUGGUGAUUGGGCUCAGCCCGUGUGGUGAUUGGGCUAAGUUACAAUUACCUAACUUUCCUCCUUCACAUGAUUAAGGCUAAAAUGACUUGAAUUAAUUUGCAAAUUACAAAUCUACUUUAUACAUUUACAAAAAUUACAUACAAACAAAAUUAUGAUGCAAUAAAAUUAAUUUUAAAUUUAUUUAUAUCAACAGCAAUUGUGUAUAAUGCCUGCUACAGUAGACAAAUACAGUGUUCGCUAUAGUACCCGUGACUUUUCUUCACUGGUUUACAUUAGUUUGCACUGUAGCUUAGGUGACUUCCCUUCUUCAUGUUAGAGGAUCCACUACCCCAUGUUCAUGUCCUCGUUCAUCAAAUAGAAUUGUAAUUCAGAUAUAAGUUUGUAUCAGCCUGCGCAAACAGAAUCACUGAAAUCUCGUUACACCCAUGGUGGACAUUUAGUAAAAAUAAUCUGCUAUCAGUUGAAAUGAACCUUCCAUCCAUGGUUGCAGUUGGAGUCCAGAGGUGGCCAGGAGCCGUGCGGUGAAGCUGAAGCGUCCAGCUCGCGGCCCCCGCGUUGUUCGCUUCGGGCGACACGGGCGGCGUCUAGGGUUUCCCCACCGCGCCGCCGCUCCUUCCCCUCCCUCCCUCGCCGCCACCUGAGAAAGUCGCCGGAUUCGCUCGCGCGGCCGCCGGUGAUGGUGGCGGCGAGGCCUCGGUUGCUCCUUCCCUCGAGAAUGACCUCGGAUCUAGGGCGGCGGCGCCAUCUCGGCUGGCGUCGUUCGCGGGUGCUCUCUGGCCGGCGGCCUCGACCACGCGGGUGGUGAGACGACGGCGGGUGGCGGCGACGGCGACGGCGCGGAGUUCUUCCUCUCCUCGUCAGAUCUGAGGCUUGGCUCUCUUCCCCUGUCCCCCUCAUCCCCGCCGCUUCCAGCCGGCUGCCCUUCGUGCGCCGGUCUGGUGUUGGUGGGUGACCGGUGGAUUUGUUUAGGGCCGCGGGAAACCGUGGGUCGGCGUGGCCGGCCCGGCAGCAGCGACGUCCUUGACGCCAUGCUUCCUCCUUGGAGGUGCUGCAGAGGCCCUUCCCCUUUCCACCCGUGUUCCUCCUCCCGGGUGAAAGCCUAAAAUCCGGCUUGGAUUGGGCGGCGGCGACGCAAUGUGCGUCGUAUCUUCCUUGGGGGCGCCGCCUGGGGAGGGUUGCGUUCAGGUGAGGGGUUCAAAGUUGGAGCUUUGGGUGGCUUGGGUUGUCCGGUGACGGCGGUGCCAGCGAGGUUCGGCAUGGCUGAAGGCGUCCCCGUUUCCUUCUUGGGUGGUGUUUCUCUGCCAGUGUCGCGUCUAGUCCAGUUCCGGCGGUGCGGUGCCUCGACCCGGCGGUAGGGGAUAGGGUUCCCCUACCCGGCUGGACCUGCGCCUCGCCAGCAGCGGAACCCCGGACCUCUUCUUCAACGGCUGCCUGGCAAUGCUCCUCAGUGGCCUGUUUGGGUCUACUUGAUGACCUUGCUGCAUUUCUUCAGUAGCUGCACCUGGUGGUUUUCCUGCAGUCCUCAGGUGGUCUAGGAUGUGGCGGUGCAGCAAUCGCGGAGUGCUCGAAUGUUCAAGUGGAGGUGUGUUGUGGCCGCUCCAGGUCUCGAAGCUAGCACUUCUCCGGCUCUAGGGUGAGCAUCUCUCAAGUCCGACGGUAUGGCGCCUUGCGAGCCAUGGCGAGAGGGAAGGGUCCCCCUGCAGCGAGAGAGACGGAGGAUGUGUGUAGUCCUUCCCCCUGGAUGUUGGUCGGGCUCACUUCUACACUCUGCUGCAAGCAGAUCCUCGUCGUGCUUGUGUCCCUUUCCUAGUUGUCUGUUUGGCUGUAGUCUUCGGCUAGUACAAGCAUUGAGCUUUUUCCUGUAAUCUUUUGAGCUUGUGCGCUCCGUUGAGUUGUAAGUUUCCUAGAGUGUCCCCUUUAUCGUUUGGCCGAGGCGGUUUGUGUGUGUUUGUAUUUCCUGGCCGGUUGAUGGCUUUGUUAAUUCAAAGUCGGGCUCUUCACGAGCCUUCGUUCUAAAAAAAAAGCUGAAGCGUCCAUCGGUCCAUUUUGCAACCCGCCGGGAGCCGCGAUAGCAGAGUAAUGGAGCAAAGCAGAGCGCAGAGGGCAAUAGCGGAGUACAUACAGCAAAGCAGAGCGUAGAGGACGAUAUGAGAGUGAGAGCGUGGGCGAUCCACGUGCCACCGCCUGUUCCGCGUUAACAUACCUACUCCCUCCUAAAUAUAAGUCGUUGGGGGAGUGUAAACUGAACUCCCCUGAUGACUUAUGUUUCGGAACAGAGGUAAUACACGCCAAACCUACCCUGUUAAGUCCCUAACUCGACGAGCGAGGCAGAUAGGCUGACCUAGAGCGGGUGGGAAUCGUGACCGAGGAGCAGCGGGCUAGCAUCACCGCUUCGUCACCGGAGGAGAAGGAGUGCCCUUGCAUCGCCGCUCGCGUCUUCAUCACCGGAGGCGGAGGAGAGAGCCCGCCCACAUCGUCGCCGCUCGAGGUUCUUGCUUUGCGGCCGCGUAUGGAAGAAUUUAUGGACUCGAUAUUAGACCAUCUCUAGUAGACCUCUUAUAUCGCGAACCCUUGUUUUAUGGGCUGGCGCGGCCUGCGGCCGAAUAGACCCACAAAGUGGAACUAUAAAACAGAAUAUUCUCCGUACAGACCCAGCAAAGCGGAACUGCAAAAUAGAAUAUUUUGUUUGGCCGCAGUCCGCGCUAGCUCGCAAACCGAAAAAAAUCUAAUUAGACAAUUUGACCGCAAUUCUGAUGAUUGGCUUCAAAUUCAAACAAUCAAACAUAGUUUGUGCAAAAAUUAAGCAUAGUUUUCAAUCAUAACGCAAAAGAACCUCAUGCAAAAGCCACCUCCAUCACCAUCUUCAUCUUCAUCAUCGCCAUCGCUCUCCACCACCGCCACCGAAGACACCACCACCUCCAUGACCAUCAUCACUCUCCACCACUGCCACCGAUUCCCCCACCGGCACCGAAGCCAUCACCCGUCGCCGCCAGCAUCCUUCUCUUCAAGAUAUCUCUCCUUGCCAUAUCAUGUCAUUCUUUGGUGAGGUCGUCCAUGUCACUGCGGUUCAUAGUCAUGAUCUUGUUCUCCUCGGCAAGAAGCUUGGCUAAGGCCUUGUUCUCCUCGGCAAGGGCUUUUCUCUCCUCAAUGACAGCCUUGCGCAACCCCUCUUCCUUGAGUAAUUGCCACUUUUCUUGCUUCUCUUGCGCCUUCCUCUCGGCCAACUCCUUCUUUUCCUCCAAUGUCUUGCCCAUCAUCAUCUCAUUUGAUUGCACCAUGGCAUCUAUCUUGUCACGCAAGCUUGAUGCCUCCGCUUCCGUCUUGAUCUUGUCCUUGGCCUUCUUGUUUCCAUUGGGCUUGUUCUUGUUUCUUGGGCCAUCAUCAUCAUCAUCCAUCUUGGUGAAUGCACCUCUCUUCGAUGGGGAUUCUUUCUCAAUCAACUUCCACUCCUCGCUAUUUUGAAGAAAUUUCCAACAAUGCUCUAGUUGAAAUGACUUGCCAACGGAAGCUUCCAUGUCCUUGUACCUUUCUUGCACAAUUUUCUCCUACAAAAUGAAAACAAUGUCAAAUUAUGCAGCGAUUCACACGGCUACAAAUGAUUUGCACAACCUGGGACGUGGAAACAAACUCACAUAAUUGGAUUCAAUGGUAUCACUUGGAGGUGCAUUGCGGACUUGCUCCAAGCAAGCAGCCCAACAGCUACAAAUCGGCUUGAUCACGUCCCAACGACCUUGGAGUGACCUAAAGGUGCAUGGUGUCCUGUUGGAAUACUUUGCCAUAAUGCAGAAGAACUGAUCCUCUAUCCUUUGCCAAUACCACUUGGCGGUUUGGUCAGUGUCGGUGCACGCAUCAAGAUUCCCAAGCCUUGAUCAAGAUUUGAUCUUCCAUUUGUGUGGAGUUCUUCGAUUUUGCACGCACUUUUUGCUUGCAAUGGGUCGAACACCCCCUCCUCAACCUCCUUCACCUCAUGCUCUUCCUCACCGUGACCAUGCACACCACCACCCAUCUCAUUGUAACCGUAAUCACCGAUCAGGGCCUGUUCGGUGUCGACGGUGUUGUCAUCCAACAACGCACAAACUCGACAGUCGCAUCAUGCAAACCGACGCUACAAUUUCGCUCAACAAGUCACGAACAAGCGUCAAUGGAGAAACGUGAAACAACUAGAAGAAAUCAAAGUAUCAUACCUUGAGCCCAUUUUGUCGAACACCUUUGGGGUGGCGGUAGCAGCGUCGUCGGCGGGCAUCCUCGGGGUAGCUCUUGUCGGGGGGAAUCGGGGGAGGUGUUGGUGGGGUAAAUCUUGUGGUGGCCUUCUCGCGUUUCACACCUGAAACCUUGCCUUUCUUCACCGGCGCGGGCCAGACCGGAUUCGCAGCGGUGGCAGCGGCGGGCACGCGUGCCUUCCCGGCGGGGCCUGCGGGGUGGAGUCUUGAACAAUGAUGUGCGCGACAUGGCUGGCGACGAGAUCUGUCGGAGGGGUUGACGCGUGGAUGACAUCCACGGUGAGGCCGACGGCUGGGAGGCUUCCAUGGCAGCGAUACAAAGCCGGGGAAGGUGGUACGGAGCGGGCAGAGGGAAGGGGNNNNNNNNNNAUACAUAUGGCUCAAUCAACUCCUACACAUGCUAGUGGGUUUCAUCUAGUUACUGUGGCAAUGACAGGUCAUGCAGAGGAAAUGGGUUCAACUACCGUAGCACACAGCAGUUUGAAUCGCGUUGUCUUAAUGCAGUAAAAGAGAGCAGGAGCGAGAACAUGGGAUUGUAUCGAUAUGAUCAAAUGGUUGGUUGCUUGCCUGAUGGUUCGAUGCACGGAUACGGUUCUUCGUUAGGGUAAUCACGGUACUCCUCGGGGACAGAACCUGUCGCAAAGGGCAUCGAUACACAAGCAUCACCAAACAAUGUGCAACAAUAUGAUGCAUGCAUGAAACAUGGCAAUAUGAGUGUAUUGGGCUAAUGCAACUAAAGUCAGAAGGGUUUGAACAAAUUUGAAUCAAAGAUUCAAAUUUCAAAUUCCAAUAUGGCCUUUUAAAGUGCUUUUCCUUGUUCUGCUUGAAUCAUCAAUUUAACUUGUUUGAUCAUGCAUGAAAAUAGUACAGAUGGAUAGAUUGGAUUUUUCUGAUCAUUUUUCAUAUAUAAUUUGUCCAAUUUGGAGUUACAGAAUAAAAGUUAUGAAUUUUUGAAGUUUAAAUAAUAUUCUGGAAUUUCCUGAUUUAAUUUAAAUCCAGAAAAUUAAUUACUGCGUCAGCCUGACGUCAGUGUGACGUCAGCAGGUCAACUGCGGCUGGCUGAAGUCAAACCUGACGGGUGGGGGCCACACGUCAGUGACAGGGGGGGUUAAACAGAUUUAAAUUAAUUCUAAUUACUAAUUAGUGGCGCUGGGGCCCACUGUCAGUGUCAGGGGGGUUGACUAAUAGUAGUUAGCGCUAACCUAACCAUCUGGCCGACAGGGCCCACGCGUCAGCGACCCUGGGGGGUCAAACCCCAGGUCGGUCAAAUCAAACCCCACCGGCGACAUGACGCCGGCGAGAUCCGAGACGGCGGCGAGAGUGCUUUUUGCCAUUCCGGCGACCAAAUGGACGGCGGAAGGCAUCUACGUGUUGCUGAGGUUGAGCCGCGUCUAUUGGUGGUGGUGGUUGGGCUCGGGGUGGCCGGAGUUGACGGCGGCGAGCUCGGCUGCGGCGGCCGGAGUUCGGGUGCGGUCGGGAUCAGUGUUGCAGGGGGUUUGGGGAGGCGUUGGUGCGUUCUACGUGCUCCUGGUGAUGUGUGGAGCACGAUGGUGGACAUUUAGUAAAAAUAAUCUGCUAUCAGUUGAAAUGAACCUUCCAUCCAUGGUUGCAGUUGGAGUCCAGAGGUGGCCAGGAGCCGUGCGGUGAAGCUGAAGCGUCCAGCUCGCGGCCCCCGCGUCGUUCGCUUCGGGCGACACGGGCGGCGUCUAGGGUUUCCCCACCGCGCCGCCGCUCCUUCCCCUCCCUCCCUCGCCGCCACCUGAGAAAGUCGCCGGAUUCGCUCGCGCGGCCGCCGGUGAUGGUGGCGGCGAGGCCUCGGUUGCUCCUUCCCUCGAGAAUGACCUCGGAUCUAGGGCGGCGGCGCCAUCUCGGCUGGCGUCGUUCGCGGGUGCUCUCUGGCCGGCGGCCUCGACCACGCGGGUGGUGAGACGACGGCGGGUGGCGGCGACGGCGACGGCGCGGAGUUCUUCCUCUCCUCGUCAGAUCUGAGGCUUGGCUCUCUUCCCCUGUCCCCCUCAUCCCCGCCGCUUCCAGCCGGCUGCCCUUCGUGCGCCGGUCUGGUGUUGGUGGGUGACCGGUGGAUUUGUUUAGGGCCGCGGGAAACCGUGGGUCGGCGUGGCCGGCCCGGCAGCAGCGACGUCCUUGACGCCAUGCUUCCUCCUUGGAGGUGCUGCAGAGGCCCUUCCCCUUUCCACCCGUGUUCCUCCUCCCGGGUGAAAGCCUAAAAUCCGGCUUGGAUUGGGCGGCGGCGACGCAAUGUGCGUCGUAUCUUCCUUGGGGGCGCCGCCUGGGGAGGGUUGCGUUCAGGUGAGGGGUUCAAAGUUGGAGCUUUGGGUGGCUUGGGUUGUCCGGUGACGGCGGUGCCAGCGAGGUUCGGCAUGGCUGAAGGCGUCCCCGUUUCCUUCUUGGGUGGUGUUUCUCUGCCAGUGUCGCGUCUAGUCCAGUUCCGGCGGUGCGGUGCCUCGACCCGGCGGUAGGGGAUAGGGUUCCCCUACCCGGCUGGACCUGCGCCUCGCCAGCAGCGGAACCCCGGACCUCUUCUUCAACGGCUGCCUGGCAAUGCUCCUCAGUGGCCUGUUUGGGUCUACUUGAUGACCUUGCUGCAUUUCUUCAGUAGCUGCACCUGGUGGUUUUCCUGCAGUCCUCAGGUGGUCUAGGAUGUGGCNNNNNNNNNNNNNNNNNNNNNNNNNNNNNNNNNNNNNNNNNNNNNNNNNNNNNNNNNNNNNNNNNNNNNNNNNNNNNNNNNNNNNNNNNNNNNNNNNNNNNNNNNNNNNNNNNNNNNNNNNNNNNNNNNNNNNNNNNNNNNNNNNNNNNNNNNNNNNNNNNNNNNNNNNNNNNNNNNNNNNNNNNNNNNNNNNNNNNNNNNNNNNNNNNNNNNNNNNNNNNNNNNNNNNNNNNNNNNNNNNNNNNNNNNNNNNNNNNNNNNNNNNNNNNNNNNNNNNNNNNNNNNNNNNNNNNNNNNNNNNNNNNNNNNNNNNNNNNNNNNNNNNNNNNNNNNNNNNNNNNNNNNNNNNNNNNNNNNNNNNNNNNNNAGCGGGAACUGCCGCACGAAAAUGUCCCUCCUGCCAAAUAUCGUUGCCGAUAGGGGUCAAGCUCGGGUCGGCCUCCCACCCCGUGUAUCUAAAGGUUCAGGGUGAAGAUUUGCCGCGCCCCGCAAUUUUUUUACAGGCUGUAGUUCGAUACUGUGUCUGUUUACAGAUCGACGCGAUAUAAGGGGUCUAAUAAAGAUGCUCUUACUAUGUUUAGAGACGGUAUACGAGCUUCUAAUUUCCUCCUUCCUACACGCGGCCGAUUGAGGCAUAGUAGCCAAUAGAGAAAGGGAAAUUGAAGGAGCUUCUUAUUUCUUCCCUUUUUGGACCAUAGUGCUAAAUUUCAGAAUCUAUUAUCACAACCCUUGCGCGCUCAUGAUUCAUUCCUAGCUGUGCUUUUGUACCACAUCAACCAAAAAAACUGUGCUUUUGUAAUUUCUGCGGUGGCCAUCGUGUUGUCUCCAUCUUCCAGCAUACCACCUUGUCCUGCUCCAUCCGCUGGUCGUCACAUGGUCACCUACGCAUAUGUCGGUGUCUUCUGACCCAACGUGUGUUACAGAGGCGGACCAUAAAAAAAAAUUUAAGGUGGGGCGAAGUCUCAUUAAGAUUUUUUUUUGAUGCGAAUCAAAGGAGUCAAUACACACUAACAAUGCACACUACAAAUGAAUAACCAAAUAUAAUGAAAAUGUAGACAUGUUUCAAUAGGAAAACAACCUAAAACAUACCGAUAAUGAAGCGUAUAAUGGCGUCUAGAAGACCCAGACAAUGGCAAUGCUCUACCCUCCUUUUGAAAAUCUUCCUAAUUUUAGCAAGAGCAAUACUUUUGAAGAUCUAUUACUCAAUGUACACAUCUUCCCUAAUUUUACAAAACGGACAUGAUAAAUAUACCUCUUCCUCCUCUUUCCUCUGCAUUUGCUGAUCCUUUCCUCUUCUUUUCCAUCUUAUGAAGAGAAGUCACAGAACUGCGCCGGUUGGGCAUCUUAUUAGCUUGUAUGUAUAAUCAUCUAAAAACAAAAACUUGUGCGUACACUAGCAUGAAUGAAAAAUAUAAUUAUAUAAACAAAGUGGCAGUGGCUGCAAAUAGUUCAGAGCAGAGGAGUGGUUCAGAGUUUCGGACCCUAGGAGAUUACCAGGAAAAUCCCCAACAGUCGUNNNNNNNNNNNNNNNNNNNNNNNNNNNNNNNNNNNNNNNNNNNNNNNNNNNNNNNNNNNNNNNNNNNNNNNNNNNNNNNNNNNNNNNNNNNNNNNNNNNNNNNNNNNNNNNNNNNNNNNNNNNNNNNNNNNNNNNNNNNNNNNNNNNNNNNNNNNNNNNNNNNNNNNNNNNNNNNNNNNNNNNNNNNNNNNNNNNNNNNNNNNNNNNNNNNNNNNNNNNNNNNNNNNNNNNNNNNNNNNUGUUAAGUCCCUAACUCGACGAGCGAGGCAGAUAGGCUGACCUAGAGCGGGUGGGAAUCGUGACCGAGGAGCAGCGGGCUAGCAUCACCGCUUCGUCACCGGAGGAGAAGGAGUGCCCUUGCAUCGCCGCUCGCGUCUUCAUCACCGGAGGCGGAGGAGAGAGCCCGCCCACAUCGUCGCCGCUCGAGGUUCUUGCUUUGCGGCCGCGUAUGGAAGAAUUUAUGGACUCGAUAUUAGACCAUCUCUAGUAGACCUCUUAUAUCGCGAACCCUUGUUUUAUGGGCUGGCGCGGCCUGCGGCCGAAUAGACCCACAAAGUGGAACUAUAAAACAGAAUAUUCUCCGUACAGACCCAGCAAAGCGGAACUGCAAAAUAGAAUAUUUUGUUUGGCCGCAGUCCGCGCUAGCUCGCAAACCGAAAAAAAUCUAAUUAGACAAUUUGACCGCAAUUCUGAUGAUUGGCUUCAAAUUCAAACAAUCAAACAUAGUUUGUGCAAAAAUUAAGCAUAGUUUUCAAUCAUAACGCAAAAGAACCUCAUGCAAAAGCCACCUCCAUCACCAUCUUCAUCUUCAUCAUCGCCAUCGCUCUCCACCACCGCCACCGAAGACACCACCACCUCCAUGACCAUCAUCACUCUCCACCACUGCCACCGAUUCCCCCACCGGCACCGAAGCCAUCACCCGUCGCCGCCAGCAUCCUUCUCUUCAAGAUAUCUCUCCUUGCCAUAUCAUGUCAUUCUUUGGUGAGGUCGUCCAUGUCACUGCGGUUCAUAGUCAUGAUCUUGUUCUCCUCGGCAAGAAGCUUGGCUAAGGCCUUGUUCUCCUCGGCAAGGGCUUUUCUCUCCUCAAUGACAGCCUUGCGCAACCCCUCUUCCUUGAGUAAUUGCCACUUUUCUUGCUUCUCUUGCGCCUUCCUCUCGGCCAACUCCUUCUUUUCCUCCAAUGUCUUGCCCAUCAUCAUCUCAUUUGAUUGCACCAUGGCAUCUAUCUUGUCACGCAAGCUUGAUGCCUCCGCUUCCGUCUUGAUCUUGUCCUUGGCCUUCUUGUUUCCAUUGGGCUUGUUCUUGUUUCUUGGGCCAUCAUCAUCAUCAUCCAUCUUGGUGAAUGCACCUCUCUUCGAUGGGGAUUCUUUCUCAAUCAACUUCCACUCCUCGCUAUUUUGAAGAAAUUUCCAACAAUGCUCUAGUUGAAAUGACUUGCCAACGGAAGCUUCCAUGUCCUUGUACCUUUCUUGCACAAUUUUCUCCUACAAAAUGAAAACAAUGUCAAAUUAUGCAGCGAUUCACACGGCUACAAAUGAUUUGCACAACCUGGGACGUGGAAACAAACUCACAUAAUUGGAUUCAAUGGUAUCACUUGGAGGUGCAUUGCGGACUUGCUCCAAGCAAGCAGCCCAACAGCUACAAAUCGGCUUGAUCACGUCCCAACGACCUUGGAGUGACCUAAAGGUGCAUGGUGUCCUGUUGGAAUACUUUGCCAUAAUGCAGAAGAACUGAUCCUCUAUCCUUUGCCAAUACCACUUGGCGGUUUGGUCAGUGUCGGUGCACGCAUCAAGAUUCCCAAGCCUUGAUCAAGAUUUGAUCUUCCAUUUGUGUGGAGUUCUUCGAUUUUGCACGCACUUUUUGCUUGCAAUGGGUCGAACACCCCCUCCUCAACCUCCUUCACCUCAUGCUCUUCCUCACCGUGACCAUGCACACCACCACCCAUCUCAUUGUAACCGUAAUCACCGAUCAGGGCCUGUUCGGUGUCGACGGUGUUGUCAUCCAACAACGCACAAACUCGACAGUCGCAUCAUGCAAACCGACGCUACAAUUUCGCUCAACAAGUCACGAACAAGCGUCAAUGGAGAAACGUGAAACAACUAGAAGAAAUCAAAGUAUCAUACCUUGAGCCCAUUUUGUCGAACACCUUUGGGGUGGCGGUAGCAGCGUCGUCGGCGGGCAUCCUCGGGGUAGCUCUUGUCGGGGGGAAUCGGGGGAGGUGUUGGUGGGGUAAAUCUUGUGGUGGCCUUCUCGCGUUUCACACCUGAAACCUUGCCUUUCUUCACCGGCGCGGGCCAGACCGGAUUCGCAGCGGUGGCAGCGGCGGGCACGCGUGCCUUCCCGGCGGGGCCUGCGGGGUGGAGUCUUGAACAAUGAUGUGCGCGACAUGGCUGGCGACGAGAUCUGUCGGAGGGGUUGACGCGUGGAUGACAUCCACGGUGAGGCCGACGGCUGGGAGGCUUCCAUGGCAGCGAUACAAAGCCGGGGAAGGUGGUACGGAGCGGGCAGAGGGAAGGGGNNNNNNNNNNNNNNNNNNNNNNNNNNNNNNNNNNNNNNNNNNNNNNNNNNNNNNNNNNNNNNNNNNNNNNNNNNNNNNNNNNNNNNNNNNNNNNNNNNNNNNNNNNNNNNNNNNNNNNNNNNNNNNNNNNNNNNNNNNNNNNNNNNNNNNNNNNNNNNNNNNNNNNNNNNNNNNNNNNNNNNNNNNNNNNNNNNNNNNNNNNNNNNNNNNNNNNNNNNNNNNNNNNNNNNNNNNNNNNNNNNNNNNNNNNNNNNNNNNNNNNNNNNNNNNNNNNNNNNNNNNNNNNNNNNNNNNNNNNNNNNNNNNNNNNNNNNNNNNNNNNNNNNNNNNNNNNNNNNNNNNNNNNNNNNNNNNNNNNNNNNNNNNNNNNNNNNNNNNNNNNNNNNNNNNNNNNNNNNNNNNNNNNNNNNNNNNNNGUUCGCUUCGGGCGACACGGGCGGCGUCUAGGGUUUCCCCACCGCGCCGCCGCUCCUUCCCCUCCCUCCCUCGCCGCCACCUGAGAAAGUCGCCGGAUUCGCUCGCGCGGCCGCCGGUGAUGGUGGCGGCGAGGCCUCGGUUGCUCCUUCCCUCGAGAAUGACCUCGGAUCUAGGGCGGCGGCGCCAUCUCGGCUGGCGUCGUUCGCGGGUGCUCUCUGGCCGGCGGCCUCGACCACGCGGGUGGUGAGACGACGGCGGGUGGCGGCGACGGCGACGGCGCGGAGUUCUUCCUCUCCUCGUCAGAUCUGAGGCUUGGCUCUCUUCCCCUGUCCCCCUCAUCCCCGCCGCUUCCAGCCGGCUGCCCUUCGUGCGCCGGUCUGGUGUUGGUGGGUGACCGGUGGAUUUGUUUAGGGCCGCGGGAAACCGUGGGUCGGCGUGGCCGGCCCGGCAGCAGCGACGUCCUUGACGCCAUGCUUCCUCCUUGGAGGUGCUGCAGAGGCCCUUCCCCUUUCCACCCGUGUUCCUCCUCCCGGGUGAAAGCCUAAAAUCCGGCUUGGAUUGGGCGGCGGCGACGCAAUGUGCGUCGUAUCUUCCUUGGGGGCGCCGCCUGGGGAGGGUUGCGUUCAGGUGAGGGGUUCAAAGUUGGAGCUUUGGGUGGCUUGGGUUGUCCGGUGACGGCGGUGCCAGCGAGGUUCGGCAUGGCUGAAGGCGUCCCCGUUUCCUUCUUGGGUGGUGUUUCUCUGCCAGUGUCGCGUCUAGUCCAGUUCCGGCGGUGCGGUGCCUCGACCCGGCGGUAGGGGAUAGGGUUCCCCUACCCGGCUGGACCUGCGCCUCGCCAGCAGCGGAACCCCGGACCUCUUCUUCAACGGCUGCCUGGCAAUGCUCCUCAGUGGCCUGUUUGGGUCUACUUGAUGACCUUGCUGCAUUUCUUCAGUAGCUGCACCUGGUGGUUUUCCUGCAGUCCUCAGGUGGUCUAGGAUGUGGCAGUGCAGCAAUCGCGGAGUGCUCGAAUGUUCAAGUGGAGGUGUGUUGUGGCCGCUCCAGGUCUCGAAGCUAGCACUUCUCCGGCUCUAGGGUGAGCAUCUCUCAAGUCCGACGGUAUGGCGCCUUGCGAGCCAUGGCGAGAGGGAAGGGUCCCCCUGCGGCGAGAGAGACGAAGGAUGUGUGUAGUCCUUCCCCCUGGAUGUUGGUCGGGCUCACUUCUACACUCUGCUGCAAGCAGAUCCUCGUCGUGCUUGUGUCCCUUUCCUAGUUGUCUGUUUGGCUGUAGUCUUCGGCUAGUACAAGCAUUGAGCUUUUUCCUGUAAUCUUUUGAGCUUGUGCGCUCCGUUGAGUUGUAAGUUUCCUAGAGUGUCCCCUUUAUCGUUUGGCCGAGGCGGUUUGUGUGUGUUUGUAUUUCCUGGCCGGUUGAUGGCUUUGUUAAUUCAAAGUCGGGCUCUUCACGAGCCUUCGUUCUAAAAAAAAAGCUGAAGCGUCCAUCGGUCCAUUUUGCAACCCGCCGGGAGCCGCGAUAGCAGAGUAAUGGAGCAAAGCAGAGCGCAGAGGGCAAUAGCGGAGUACAUACAGCAAAGCAGAGCGUAGAGGACGAUAUGAGAGUGAGAGCGUGGGCGAUCCACGUGCCACCGCCUGUUCCGCGUUAACAUACCUACUCCCUCCUAAAUAUAAGUCGUUGGGGGAGUGUAAACUGAACUCCCCUGAUGACUUAUGUUUCGGAACAGAGGUAAUACACGCCAAACCUACCUUGUUAAGUCCCUAACUCGACGAGCGAGGCAGAUAGGCUGACCUAGAGCGGGUGGGAAUCGUGACCGAGGAGCAGCGGGCUAGCAUCACCGCUUCGUCACCGGAGGAGAAGGAGUGCCCUUGCAUCGCCGCUCGCGUCUUCAUCACCGGAGGCGGAGGAGAGAGCCCGCCCACAUCGUCGCCGCUCGAGGUUCUUGCUUUGCGGCCGCGUAUGGAAGAAUUUAUGGACUCGAUAUUAGACCAUCUCUAGUAGACCUCUUAUAUCGCGAACCCUUGUUUUAUGGGCUGGCGCGGCCUGCGGCCGAAUAGACCCACAAAGUGGAACUAUAAAACAGAAUAUUCUCCGUACAGACCCAGCAAAGCGGAACUGCAAAAUAGAAUAUUUUGUUUGGCCGCAGUCCGCGCUAGCUCGCAAACCGAAAAAAAUCUAAUUAGACAAUUUGACCGCAAUUCUGAUGAUUGGCUUCAAAUUCAAACAAUCAAACAUAGUUUGUGCAAAAAUUAAGCAUAGUUUUCAAUCAUAACGCAAAAGAACCUCAUGCAAAAGCCACCUCCAUCACCAUCUUCAUCUUCAUCAUCGCCAUCGCUCUCCACCACCGCCACCGAAGACACCACCACCUCCAUGACCAUCAUCACUCUCCACCACUGCCACCGAUUCCCCCACCGGCACCGAAGCCAUCACCCGUCGCCGCCAGCAUCCUUCUCUUCAAGAUAUCUCUCCUUGCCAUAUCAUGUCAUUCUUUGGUGAGGUCGUCCAUGUCACUGCGGUUCAUAGUCAUGAUCUUGUUCUCCUCGGCAAGAAGCUUGGCUAAGGCCUUGUUCUCCUCGGCAAGGGCUUUUCUCUCCUCAAUGACAGCCUUGCGCAACCCCUCUUCCUUGAGUAAUUGCCACUUUUCUUGCUUCUCUUGCGCCUUCCUCUCGGCCAACUCCUUCUUUUCCUCCAAUGUCUUGCCCAUCAUCAUCUCAUUUGAUUGCACCAUGGCAUCUAUCUUGUCACGCAAGCUUGAUGCCUCCGCUUCCGUCUUGAUCUUGUCCUUGGCCUUCUUGUUUCCAUUGGGCUUGUUCUUGUUUCUUGGGCCAUCAUCAUCAUCAUCCAUCUUGGUGAAUGCACCUCUCUUCGAUGGGGAUUCUUUCUCAAUCAACUUCCACUCCUCGCUAUUUUGAAGAAAUUUCCAACAAUGCUCUAGUUGAAAUGACUUGCCAACGGAAGCUUCCAUGUCCUUGUACCUUUCUUGCACAAUUUUCUCCUACAAAAUGAAAACAAUGUCAAAUUAUGCAGCGAUUCACACGGCUACAAAUGAUUUGCACAACCUGGGACGUGGAAACAAACUCACAUAAUUGGAUUCAAUGGUAUCACUUGGAGGUGCAUUGCGGACUUGCUCCAAGCAAGCAGCCCAACAGCUACAAAUCGGCUUGAUCACGUCCCAACGACCUUGGAGUGACCUAAAGGUGCAUGGUGUCCUGUUGGAAUACUUUGCCAUAAUGCAGAAGAACUGAUCCUCUAUCCUUUGCCAAUACCACUUGGCGGUUUGGUCAGUGUCGGUGCACGCAUCAAGAUUCCCAAGCCUUGAUCAAGAUUUGAUCUUCCAUUUGUGUGGAGUUCUUCGAUUUUGCACGCACUUUUUGCUUGCAAUGGGUCGAACACCCCCUCCUCAACCUCCUUCACCUCAUGCUCUUCCUCACCGUGACCAUGCACACCACCACCCAUCUCAUUGUAACCGUAAUCACCGAUCAGGGCCUGUUCGGUGUCGACGGUGUUGUCAUCCAACAACGCACAAACUCGACAGUCGCAUCAUGCAAACCGACGCUACAAUUUCGCUCAACAAGUCACGAACAAGCGUCAAUGGAGAAACGUGAAACAACUAGAAGAAAUCAAAGUAUCAUACCUUGAGCCCAUUUUGUCGAACACCUUUGGGGUGGCGGUAGCAGCGUCGUCGGCGGGCAUCCUCGGGGUAGCUCUUGUCGGGGGGAAUCGGGGGAGGUGUUGGUGGGGUAAAUCUUGUGGUGGCCUUCUCGCGUUUCACACCUGAAACCUUGCCUUUCUUCACCGGCGCGGGCCAGACCGGAUUCGCAGCGGUGGCAGCGGCGGGCACGCGUGCCUUCCCGGCGGGGCCUGCGGGGUGGAGUCUUGAACAAUGAUGUGCGCGACAUGGCUGGCGACGAGAUCUGUCGGAGGGGUUGACGCGUGGAUGACAUCCACGGUGAGGCCGACGGCUGGGAGGCUUCCAUGGCAGCGAUACAAAGCCGGGGAAGGUGGUACGGAGCGGGCAGAGGGAAGGGGNNNNNNNNNNNNNNNNNNNNNNNNNNNNNNNNNNNNNNNNNNNNNNNNNNNNNNNNNNNNNNNNNNNNNNNNNNNNNNNNNNNNNNNNNNNNNNNNNNNNCCAUAUGAUAAAGAGCCCGGGCUGACAUGACUAGUCGUAAACCCAAAGUGGCACAGACUUACAGGGACAGGCAUCCAUGACCCAGCUUCGAACGUGUCGGUCAUCAGCAAGUGGGUCCGGGCUGUAGCACUGGGCUAGCAGGACUCCGGUAAACCGGGCUGUAGCGGGCUAACAGGACUCCGGUACUCAAAGCGUGACAUUUCCCCGAAGGGACAGACACAGGAACGAAGAAGGACACAUGCCGGCCAGCCUAAGUGUUCCAGAGCAGUAGCAAGCUACCAUGGCUCAGCGGUAACACUAGGAGACAUUUCCCGGUAAGAGAGCCUACUAAAGAUAAACAACUAGAUAGUCAGAUCCCACACAUACCAAGCAUUUCAAUCAUACACACAAUAUGCUCGAUAUGUGCAAAUACAACGAAGCAUCACAACAUGACUCUACGACACAAGUACUUUAUUUAAGGCUCAGGGAGCCAUACAUAUCAUACACAAAGGUACGGGUCUCACGACCCAACAUACAAGUCAUACAGUCAUACAAGCCAACAGCGGAAGUACUUUGUCUGGGUACAGACAACUAGUAAAAUAAAAGAGGCUUGGAAGCCUAACUAUACUACGUGGUCCCUCACAAGCUCAGGGUCACCACCUGGGUCCUUAGCCUACUCGUUGAUGUCAACGUCUACAUAGAACCCAUCAGAAGGGGUUGCAGCGUCUUCUGUAAAAAUGUAGAUUAUAGCAACAUGAGUACAAAAGUACUCAGCAAGACUUACAUCAGAUCCUACAUACAUGCAUAGUAUCAAGAAGGGUUGGUGGAGUUAUUGCAGCAAGCUAGCUUUGACUCUUGGCUAGACUAUCCUACGAUACUCCAACUUAAAAUGUUUUGCGCACACGAGUCCACUUCUCACCACUUCAAUACACUACCGAGGAUCCACCUCCGUCUUCCUACGGAUGAGCCAUCCUCGGUACUCACACUUAUCUUGAGGCUUUUAAUAGUUUCCAUUUACUUGUCUAUGAACUGUAUAGGCAACCAAGUAGUCCUUUACCGCGGACGCGGCUAUUCGAAUAGAUCAUGUUAACCCUGCAGGGGUGUACUUCGUCAUACAUGUUUCCACCACUUAGCGUCUGCACACGACAUGUGCUCGGCAGACUUCAAGCGAAAGCCGACGUGGGUGUAGACCACGACCUACCUAAACACUUAAGCCUCUAGUCCAGGUUUAUCGCCUAUUCAGGUUCCAUCCGCAGGGAGUCCGGCCGAGGUUUCCCAUACGGCCCCGAACGAUGUGAACAGGGUUCCCGAGAUACCUAACGGGUAUUCGGUACACCCGGCCACGUACCUACCGCAUCAUAGCCCACCCCUACGGUCAGCGCUGUCCACGGCCUCCAGUAGGCUACAAACACCAGAAACUACUUGCAACUCCUGGACAGAGAGCUAGGGUGAAUAAGAAGUCGAGCGGGGUCAUAUUUCAGGGCCCAAUGUAUGGUAGUAGCUGAUUCUUAAAUCACACAUACAGAUCUCAGUGCUUAAGGUCGGCUUCAAUGAAACAACCCAUCAUGUACUCCUACAUGGCCUCUCAUCGAUACCUUUACCAAAUCGUGUUCACCACACCACUCUCAUUACCGACAUAAUCAUUUCACUCUAGCCCAUCACCCAGAUGAACCAGACCUGACACGACUCUAAGCAUAGCAGACAUAGCAAGGUAGGAACAACACAUACAUAUGGCUCAAUCAACUCCUACACAUGCUAGUGGGUUUCAUCUAGUUACUGUGGCAAUGACAGGUCAUGCAGAGGAAAUGGGUUCAACUACCGUAGCACACAGCAGUUUGAAUCGCGUUGUCUUAAUGCAGUAAAAGAGAGCAGGAGCGAGAACAUGGGAUUGUAUCGAUAUGAUCAAAUGGUUGGUUGCUUGCCUGAUGGUUCGAUGCACGGAUACGGUUCUUCGUUAGGGUAAUCACGGUACUCCUCGGGGACAGAACCUGUCGCAAAGGGCAUCGAUACACAAGCAUCACCAAACAAUGUGCAACAAUAUGAUGCAUGCAUGAAACAUGGCAAUAUGAGUGUAUUGGGCUAAUGCAACUAAAGUCAGAAGGGUUUGAACAAAUUUGAAUCAAAGAUUCAAAUUUCAAAUUCCAAUAUGGCCUUUUAAAGUGCUUUUCCUUGUUCUGCUUGAAUCAUCAAUUUAACUUGUUUGAUCAUGCAUGAAAAUAGUACAGAUGGAUAGAUUGGAUUUUUCUGAUCAUUUUUCAUAUAUAAUUUGUCCAAUUUGGAGUUACAGAAUAAAAGUUAUGAAUUUUUGAAGUUUAAAUAAUAUUCUGGAAUUUCCUGAUUUAAUUUAAAUCCAGAAAAUUAAUUACUGCGUCAGCCUGACGUCAGUGUGACGUCAGCAGGUCAACUGCGGCUGGCUGAAGUCAAACCUGACGGGUGGGGGCCACACGUCAGUGACAGGGGGGGUUAAACAGAUUUAAAUUAAUUCUAAUUACUAAUUAGUGGCGCUGGGGCCCACUGUCAGUGUCAGGGGGGGUUGACUAAUAGUAGUUAGCGCUAACCUAACCAUCUGGCCGACAGGGCCCACGCGUCAGCGACCCUGGGGGGUCAAACCCCAGGUCGGUCAAAUCAAACCCCACCGGCGACAUGACGCCGGCGAGAUCCGAGACGGCGGCGAGAGUGCUUUUUGCCAUUCCGGCGACCAAAUGGACGGCGGAAGGCAUCUACGUGUUGCUGAGGUUGAGCCGUGUCUAUUGGUGGUGGUGGUUGGGCUCGGGGUGGCCGGAGUUGACGGCGGCGAGCUCGGCUGCGGCGGCCGGAGUUCGGGUGCGGUCGGGAUCAGUGUUGCAGGGGGUUUGGGGAGGCGUUGGUGCCUUCUACGUGCUCCUGGUGAUGUGUGGAGCACGAUGGUGUGCUCGGUUGGGCGCUACGGCGACCGUGGCCACGACGGCGACAUCGCCGGUGGCGUGGAGCUCUCGGUCGAGGUGGAGCUAGGGCCUAGAGGUCGGGAGAGACCAGGGAAGAAGGGGGAAACGCUCCGGGGGCUCACCGCGGUUGCAGUGGGCGUCGAAGCGGGCUCGGGGACGCGCCGGAGACGACGAAUUUGACGGCGACGGUGGUCGGAGUCCGAAGAGGGGAACGGCGACGUGGCGGCGAUGCAGGGCUUCCGGAGACCCGUGGAGCGGUGGGGAGGAAGAGGGAGUUGUGGCGGAGCUUCUGAGCUAGUCGGGGGAGCGAGGGGUGGUCGGAGACGAUUGCUACGGCGAACGGUGGCGACGGUGGUGUUCGGCCGUGUGAGAGAGAGAGCGAGGGAGAGGAAGGAGAGAGCCGGGGAGAGUGAGAGAGAGCAGGGGGGAUCGGGACGGGCUGCGGGCGUCGUCCACGCGGCCAGGAGGGCGUCGGCAAGCAGGAGGUGGCCGCGCGGCCGUGCGCGCGCGAGCACGCAGCAGCUUCGGGGCGAGGGGAGGAAGACGACGGGGAGCUACAGUGCUGGGCUGGGUCGGUUGCUGGCUGGGCCGGCCAGCUGGCGGGGCCGCACAGGUAAGUUUUUCCCUCUCUUUUCUGUUUUCUGUUUUUAUUUAAUAUAUCUGCAACUUUGUUGAAUUAAAUAAAAUACCUAGGCAACUUCAGAAAUCACCAAACUAUUCCUGGCCCAUAGUUGGAUUAUUUCCAACAUGAAACAUUUUAGUUUGGGGAUAUUUGAGCAUUUAAAUAUUUUAUAUUAUUUUAAAUGCCCAAAUUCAAAUAUUUAUGAUUUAAUUCAAAAACCCUAGGAUGGCCUAGGAAAAUGUGCACCAUUUUUGGCAGAGGUUCUGAACCAAGACAAAAAUGAUGGGCAUUUUAGAAGGGCAUUUCAGGUUCAUUGAAAAUUAUUUUAGUAAACCCUAGUUGGUUUCAGAGGGGACUGGGGGUUCUGUCAUCCCCAUUUCAAGUUUCUGAUGAAUGAGUAAACAUGAUGCAACACUCUAAUGCAUGACUAGCUAGGGUGUGACAACUCACCCCCACUCAAAAGAAUCUCGUCCCGAGAUUUGGGUUCCUCCGGGAAGAAGGCGGGAUACUCGAGUCGAAGACGAUCCUCCCUUUCCCAAGUUGCUUCAUCUUCAGAAUGGUGCGACCAUUGAACUUUGAGAAACUUGAUAUUAUGACGUCGGGUGGUACGCUCGGCCUGAUCGAGGAUACGAAUGGGGUACUCUCGAUAUGUAAGAUCAUCUUGGAGAUCAAGCGUUUCGUGGUCCACUUCACGGAUAGGAUCCGAGAAGCAACGCCUGAGUUGAGAGACGUGGAAGACAUCGUGAACUCUGGAGAGGGGCGGAGGUAGUUCCAAUUGGUAGGCAACUUCUCCUCGUUUGGCAAGAAUGCAAAAAGGUCCAAUGUAACAAGGAGCCAAUUUGCCUUUGAUACCGAAGCGAUGGGUUCCCUUCAGAGGGGUGACCCGAAGAUAAGCUUUCUCGUCAACCUCGAAAGUCAUAGCCUUAUGUUUUCGGUCAUAUUGACUCUUUUGACGGGAUUGGGCUGUUUUCAACUUUUCACGAACGAUACGAACCUGUUCUUCUGCUUCCUGAAUCAUAUCCGGGCCAAAGAAUUGUCUUUCCCCGGUCUCUGACCAGUUAAGGGGUGUUCGACAUCGUCGUCCAUAGAGAACUUCAAAAGGGGCUUUACUCAAGCUAGAUUGAUAGCUGUUGUUGUAAGCGAAUUCGGCAAAUGGAAGGCACUUCUCCCAGUCCAUUCCGAAAGAGAUAACGGAGGCUCGAAGCAUGUCUUCUAGAAUUUGGUUGACGCGUUCCACUUGACCACUCGACUGAGGGUGGUAAGCGGUGCUGAAGGAGAGACGAGUUCCCAUAGCAUUUUGGAAACUUUCCCAAAAUCGAGAGGUGAAAAGACUUCCUCGAUCCGAGUUAAUUCCCAAAGGAACACCAUGGAGAGACACUAUUCGGGAGAUAUACAAGUCUGCCAGCUGACUAGCGGUUAUACUCUCACGAACAGGUAAGAAAUGAGCUACUUUGGAAAGACGAUCGACCACGACGAAGAUAGCAUUAUUCCCUCUCUUUGUCCUGGGAAAACCGGUAAUGAAAUCCAUACCAAUUUUAUCCCAUUUCCAUUCAGGAAUAGCUAAGGGUUGAAGGGUGCCAGCAGGCCGUUGAUGCUCUGCUUUUACACGACGACAGACGUCGCAAUUAGCAAUAUACUGAGCGAUUUCUCUCUUCAUCCUAGUCCACCAGAACCUCUGGCGUAGGUCCUGAUACAUCUUAGUACUACCGGGAUGAAUGGUGAGAGGAGAUUCAUGGGCCUCCUUAAGGAUCAACUGCCGUAGAUGCUGGUUCUUGGGAACCACUAGACGGUUCUCAAAAUACACAACACCAUGAUCGUUAGUGGAGAAACAACUAGCACCUCCGCUAGCAAUGUUCUCUUUGAUUUUAGAUAUUCCCUUAUCUCGCUUUUGGGCAGCGAUGAUUUGAUCCGUAAGAGUAGGUUUUGCUACCAAGGUGGAGAGAAAACCUUGAGGAACAAUGUGAAGGUUAAGCUUCCGAAAUUCCUCAUGGAGAAGCGGUUGACUUUGUUGUAACAUCAGGUUGUUACAAUAAGAUUUACGACUUAGCGCAUCAGCCAUGACGUUGGCUUUCCCUGGGGUAUAGGUUAUUCCUAAGUCGAAGUCAGUGAUCAAUUCAACCCAACGUCUCUGCCUGAGAUUCAAAUCCGGUUGGGUGAAAAUGUACUUCAGACUUUGGUGAUCGGUGAAUAUUUCGCAACGAUUACCGAGGAGGUAAUGUCGCCAGGUCUUAAGUGCAUAGACUACGGCUGCAAGCUCUAGAUCAUGAGUAGGAUAAUUCUCCUCAUGUGGGUGCAAUUGCCGUGAAGCGUAGGCAAUUACGUGUCGAUCUUGCAUGAGAAUGCAACCUAGUCCUUGUCGCGAGGCGUCGCAGUAGAUAACAAAGUCCUUGGAGAAGUCUGGCGGUACCAGCACGGGAGCAGAGGUCAGGCGUCUUUUCAGUUCCUGAAAGCUGUGCUCACAUUGUGGAGUCCAUUCGAACUUCUUAUCUUUCUUGAGGAGUUCGGUUAGAGGUUUGGCAACCUUGGAGAAGUUCUCGACAAAGCGACGACAAUAGCUCGCUAAGCCUAGAAAACUCCGAACUUGCUUGACCGAUUCAGGUGGUGUCCAAUCAAGGACGGCUUGAACUCGCUCAGGGUUAACAGCAAUACCUUUACCAGAUAUUACAUGGCCCAGAUAGGUCACUUCUGACAACCAGAAUUCACAUUUUGAAAAUUUGGCAUAAAGGCGAUGCUCUCGAAGUUUCUUCAACACUAGCCUUAAAUGUUCGGCAUGUUCUUCCUCGUUCUUGGAGUAGAUGAGUAUAUCAUCGAGAUAAACUACGACGAAUUUAUCCAAAUACUCCAUGAAGAUUGAGUUCAUUAACCGAGAAAAGGUGGCUGGAGCGUUGGUUAAACCGAAGGACAUGACGGUGUACUCGUAUUGGCCAUAACGAGUAACAAAGGCCGUUUUAGGAAUGUCCCCGUUUCUGAUUUUGAUUUGAUGGUAGCCCAACCUCAAAUCCAUCUUGGAGAAGACUGAGGAUCCAGCGAGCUGAUCAUACAGAUCGUUGAUCCUGGGAAGUGGAUAUUUGUUCUUGAUUGUGACCAAGUUGACAGGUCGGUAAUCUACAACCAUCCGGUCCGUACCAUCCUUUUUCUUAACGAAUAGGACGGGGCAAGCCCACGGAGAUGAGCUAGGUCGAAUGAAACCCUUUUUCAAGGACUCAUCGAGUUGUUUCUUAAGCUCGGCUAGUUCUAGGGGUGCCAUCUUAUAGGGUCUUCUAGCAAUCGGAACGGUUCCGGGGAUGAGGUCGAUUACGAACUCAACAUCCCUGUCAGGUGGAACACCUGGCAAUUCUUCUGGAAAGACAUCCGGGAAGUCAUGGACUACCGGAACGUCCUCAAGGUCUGGCAAGGGGCUGGCGUUAAGAGAAUAUAAUUGUCGCUUGGCUAUUCGGGUCAAGACAUUGACUAUCUUCCCCGAAGGAUGGGUGAGUUGAACAGUCCUAGAGAAGCAAUCAGUUUGGGCAUGAUGGGCUGACAUCCAGUCCAUACCCAGAAUGAUAUUAAUAUCUGAAGAUUUAAGGGCUAUCAAAGAUGCAAGGAAAACAAGUCUGUCGACUUGGAUCUCAUUUCCAUAACUUACCCUAGAGGUCUGCCAUCUAGACCCAGGGGUAGAGAUUUCCAUAGUGGAUGGCAAGUCACAAAAUGCAAUGUUAUGCAGACGAGCAUAAUUUUCGGAUAUAAAAGAAUGAGAGGCUCCUGUAUCGAAAAGAACAGAUGCCGGGUGGCAAUUAACAAGAAGCGUACCGAGAACGACGUUGGGAUCCUCUUGAGCUUCUUCGGCAGAGACACAAUUGACAUGGCCACGUGAAGCGGUGACCGGUUUAGCAUGAAACACUUUCCCUGUCGGUUUGCCACGGCCAACAGCUUUAGCAGAUUGAUUGGGGUUGGUCUGGGGGCAUUCACGCAUAUAGUGACCAGAUUCCCCACACUUGAAACAAGUCACGGAACUGGUACGUGGAGGAGCAUUGUUAGAUGGACCCCCAUAGGGCUUGGCCGGUGCAGACUGUUGAACAGGGCGAGGCGCCUGGAAAGAUGGCCUCGGUGUGAACCUGGGUGGCAGGGCGGUGUUGGGUACCCACACGCGGCGCUUCUGAGGACCAGCACCGGAUGAGGAACCCAUGUCACGUCCAUGCUUGCGUGUUGCGUCAUAGUCAGUCUGACCAGUUUCAGCACUGAUGGCUUUGUUGACAAGUUUCGAAAAGGAUGUGCACUCAUGCAGACGGAGGUCGCGGCGAAGCUCAGGACUAAGGCCCUUGCGGAACCUUGCUUGCUUCUUGGCGUCAGUAGAAACUUCCUCGGUUGCAUAUCGGGCAAGAUUACCAAACUCCCUGCUAUAGACAUCCACAGAAAGUCGGCCUUGGGUGAAAUUGCAAAAUUCUUCACGCUUACGGUCCAUGAGACCCUCCGGAAUGUGAUGUUCACGGAAAGCCUCGCUGAACUCAGCCCAAGUAGUGACAUGGCCCGCUGGGCGCAUGGCUCCAUAAUUCUCCCACCAUAGACUGGCGGGGCCUUCAAGAUGAUAUGCGGCAAAGGUGACCUUGUCAGCCUCCGCUACCAGCGCGGAACGCAGCUUGUGAGAGAUACUGCAAAGCCAGUCAUCAGCGUCGAGAGGCUCGACGGAGUGGUGGAACGUGGGUGGAUGCAAUUUGAUAAAAUCACUGAGUGACACCACGUUAGCCCUCUGAUGGUGUGCUGUAUUCUGUUCAAUACGCUCCAACAAACGGUUUGUCUCCCGCUUGUUUCUCUCAGCUUCCAUCAUCACCUCGGCUAGUGAAGGAGGAUGAGGCAGAUUUUCAUUCCUGGCUUCACUGCCUUCGGCCUGCUCUUGGGAGGCAGGGUUGGCGCGCGUGUUGACCAUCCUAGGUAAACAAGACAAUGAUUUAGUCAGAAUGAUGAAAUUCCGACAUGGGAUACAUAAUGUAAGAAAUAACUCGGAAUGCAAGAUGAUCAUCCGUAUGACAUGGUAGAUACAGAAACUGCUUCUUUAUUCCAUCGUCAUACACACCAUACAAGGUUUAGUACAAGACCAAACAAAGUACUAUUACGGUGAGAAAAGGAUUACAUCUCAUCGGAGGCAUUCCAAGCUCCUAUACAUUAUUUUUCUACACCUCCGGAAGGAGUACAAACUAGGUCAUAACCCACGAGUCACGCGGGACGAUAGAUGACACAGCUAGUGCGAACUAGUGAUGCUACCACUAACUCAGACCGAUCCGUAGUAGUCCUCGUAGAAGUCACCUCCAUAGCCUGGAAGCUCCACAUGUUCAUCCGGAAACAGACGGUCUCGCGGAGCUUGUGGUCCAUAGGGACUAGGAUGAGGUCGUGGACCAACAAACGGUGGCCUGCGGGGACCGCGAGGUGGGGUGAUGCCUCCUACAUCACGCCAAACCAUCACGUCUGGCAGAGCAGAUCUCACAGGAUAGAGAUCGCGCAUAUCUGAAUAUCCAGCUUGCACCGCCGGUGCGAACCGAGUCAAAGUGGCCCAGUGAUCAGCACGGGUAUUGAAGAGCUCUAACCUCAAGGCCCGAUUUUCACGGUCCUUAUCCUCGAGCAUCUCAGCAGUGGUGCGAGUCCGUGAAUCCUCCUGAGUGGAGUCAGCAUAGAUAGCCUGGAGAUACCCUUGUGCUCCCGGAAGUGAUCCUGGCAUAUACCGGAAGUCAGAGUCCCGAAAUAGACCAGAUCUGACUCGCAUAAUGGUCAUCAUAGAGUAGGCGGCAUCCUGCACAGCCAUCUCAAUAGUAACCCCGAGUCCAUAGGAGCAGUGAAGAGGCUCGGUGGAUCCAGGAUAAGAUGGAAAUAUCCUGACAGUGCAGAGAUACUGGCUUUGGUUGAAGUCUCGGAAUUGCUCUUCGACCGUGUACUCAGGAUACCAGCGGUAUCCAGCCUCAGUCAUUACCCUGACCAACUUAGCAGUAUGGCCGGGUACAUCUAGGCAUCGAGUCAGGCGAACCACUUGAUUGAGGUCGCGAGUGGCCAUCUGAAAGCAUAAUCAUAAUGCAAAGGCAUUAGAAUUUCUAGCAAAAUUUCGGCAGCAUAACAGCUGUAAAUGCUCAAAAAGGAUAUUGAGACAUUUGACAAAGGAUUUCGUACACACUCAACAUCAUCAUAUCAAAGUUCUGAAACCAUUCUGGCAACAUGAUGUGGUAGUAGAACUGAACUAGGCUGGUAACCAACAAACUUAUAAGGUACUACUGAUUAGUAACUCGUGAUCCUGAUAGAGAGAAUCAGAUCCUAAUUCCUUAACCCCCGGUGGAAGAAUGGACUGACUCAGAUCAGAAUGUCAUAAGGUAUAAGGAGUAAAAGAGCCUUACGUUCCAACCCACAAACAAUUCCCCUACAUAUAACUAAAGAAUUUCUAGACUCAACAUCGACCAGUUUGGCUUGGAGAACCUACAGGCAGUCCGGCUCUGAUACCAACGCUGUCAGGACCCCGACUCGAUGUCACAUCGAUCUAGCUGGUAACACCUCAUAUCACUUUGCGGCCUCACGCACGGUAUCCCCACGGGUGUCGUCUUACCUUUUCCCGGGACCGUUUGCGCCUUUUGGCUCACGUAUAUGAUAGCGUCGCUAGCAUCCAUAUGAUAAAGAGCCCGGGCUGACAUGACUAGUCGUAAACCCAAAGUGGCACAGACUUACAGGGACAGGCAUCCAUGACCCAGCUUCGAACGUGUCGGUCAUCAGCAAGUGGGUCCGGGCUGUAGCACUGGGCUAGCAGGACUCCGGUAAACCGGGCUGUAGCGGGCUAACAGGACUCCGGUACUCAAAGCGUGACAUUUCCCCGAAGGGACAGACACAGGAACGAAGAAGGACACAUGCCGGCCAGCCUAAGUGUUCCAGAGCAGUAGCAAGCUACCAUGGCUCAGCGGAAACACUAGGAGACAUUUCCCGGUAAGAGAGGCUACUAAAGAUAAACAACUAGAUAGUCAGAUCCCACACAUACCAAGCAUUUCAAUCAUGCACACAAUAUGCUCGAUAUGUGCGAAUACAACGAAGCAUCACAACAUGACUCUACGACACAAGUACUUUAUUUAAGGCUCAGGGAGCCAUACAUAUCAUACACACAGGUACGGGUCUCACGACCCAACAUACAAAUCAUACAGUCAUACAAUCCAACAGCGGAAGUACUUUGUCUGGGUACAGACAACUAGUAAAAUAAAAGAGGCUUGGAAGCCUAACUAUACUACGUGGUCCAUCACAAGCUCAGGGUCACCACCUGGGUCUUUAGCCUACUCGUUGAUGUCAACGUCUACAUAGAACCCAUCAGAAGGGGUUGCAGCGUCUUCUGUAAAAAUGUAGAUUAUAGCAACAUGAGUACAAAGGUACUCAGCAAGACUUACAUCAGAUCCUACAUACAUGCAUAGUAUCAAGAAGGGUUGGUGGAGUUAUUGCAGCAAGCCAGCUUUGACUCUUGGCUAGACUAUCCUACGAUACUCCAACUUGAAAUAGUUUUGCGCACACGAGUCCACUAUUCACCACUUCAAUACACUACCGAGGAUCCACCUCCGUCUUCCUACGGAAGAGCCAUCCUCGGCACUCACACUUAUCUUGAGGCUUUUAAUAGUAUCCAUUUACUUGUCUAUGAACUGUAUAGGCAACCAAGUAGUCCUUUACCGCGGACGCGGCUAUUCGAAUAGAUCAUGUUAACCCUGCAGGGGUGUACUUCGUCAUACAUGUUUCCACCACUUAGCGUCUGCACACGACAUGUGCUCGGCAGACUUCAAGCGAAAGCCGACGUGGGUGUAGACCACGACCUACCUAAACACUUAAGCCUCUAGUCCAGGUUUAUCGCCUAUUCAGGUUCCAUCCGUAGGGAGUCCGGCCGAGGUUUCCCAUACGGCCCCGAACGAUGUGAACAGGGUUCCCGAGAUACCUAACGGGUAUUCGGUACACCCGGCCACGUACCUACCGCAUCACAGCCCACCCCUAUGGUCAGCGCUGUCCACGGCCUCCAGUAGGCUACAAACACCAGAAACUACUUGCAACUCCUGGACAGAGAGCUAGGGUGAAUAAGAAGUCGAGCGGGGUCAUAUUUCAGGGCCCAAUGUAUGGUAGUAGCUGAUUCUUAAAUCACACAUACAGAUCUCAGUGCUUAAGGUCGGCUUCAAUGAAACAACCCACCAUGUACUCCUACAUGGCCUCUCAUCGAUACCUUUACCAAAUCGUGUUCACCACACCACUCUCAUUACCGACAUAAUCAUUUCACUCUAGCCCAUCACCCAGAUGAACCAGACCUGACACGACUCUAAGCAUAGCAGGCAUAGCAAGGUAGGAACAACAUAUACAUAUGGCUCAAUCAACUCCUACACAUGCUAGUGGGUUUCAUCUAGUUACUGUGGCAAUGACAGGUCAUGCAGAGGAAAUGGGUUCAACUACCGUAGCACACAGCAGUUUGAAUCGCGUUGUCUUAAUGCAGUAAAAGAGAGCAGGAGCGAGAACAUGGGAUUGUAUCGAUAUGAUCAAAUGGUUGGUUGCUUGCCUGAUGGUUCGAUGCACGGAUACGGUUCUUCGUUAGGGUAAUCACGGUACUCCUCGGGGACAGAACCUGUCGCAAAGGGCAUCGAUACACAAGCAUCACCAAACAAUGUGCAACAAUAUGAUGCAUGCAUGAAACAUGGCAAUAUGAGUGUAUUGGGCUAAUGCAACUAAAGUCAGAAGGGUUUGAACAAAUUUGAAUCAAAGAUUCAAAUUUCAAAUUCCAAUAUGGCCUUUUAAAGUGCUUUUCCUUGUUCUGCUUGAAUCAUCAAUUUAACUUGUUUGAUCAUGCAUGAAAAUAGUACAGAUGGAUAGAUUGGAUUUUUCUGAUCAUUUUUCAUAUAUAAUUUGUCCAAUUUGGAGUUACAGAAUAAAAGUUAUGAAUUUUUGAAGUUUAAAUAAUAUUCUGGAAUUUCCUGAUUUAAUUUAAAUCCAGAAAAUUAAUUACUGCGUCAGCCUGACGUCAGUGUGACGUCAGCAGGUCAACUGCGGCUGGCUGAAGUCAAACCUGACGGGUGGGGGCCACACGUCAGUGACAGGGGGGGUUAAACAGAUUUAAAUUAAUUCUAAUUACUAAUUAGUGGCGCUGGGGCCCACUGUCAGUGUCAGGGGGGGUUGACUAACAGUAGUUAGCGCUAACCUAACCAUCUGGCCGACAGGGCCCACGCGUCAGCGACCCUGGGGGGUCAAACCCCAGGUCGGUCAAAUCAAACCCCACCGGCGACAUGACGCCGGCGAGAUCCGAGACGGCGGCGAGAGUGCUUUUUGCCAUUCCGGCGACCAAAUGGACGGCGGAAGGCAUCUACGUGUUGCUGAGGUUGAGCCGCGUCUAUUGGUGGUGGUGGUUGGGCUCGGGGUGGCCGGAGUUGACGGCGGCGAGCUCGGCUGCGGCGGCCGGAGUUCGGGUGCGGUCGGGAUCAGUGUUGCAGGGGGUUUGGGGAGGCGUUGGUGCAUUCUACGUGCUCCUGGUGAUGUGUGGAGCACGAUGGUGUGCUCGGUUGGGCGCUACGGCGACCGUGGCCACGACGGCGACAUCGCCGGCGGCGUGGAGCUCUCGGUCGAGGUGGAGCUAGGGCCUAGAGGUCGGGAGAGACCAGGGAAGAAGGGGGAAACGCUCCGGGGGCUCACCGCGGUUGCAGUGGGCGUCGAAGCGGGCUCGGGGACGCGCCGGAGACGACGAAUUUGACGGCGACGGUGGUCGGAGUCCGAAGAGGGGAACGGCGACGUGGCGGCGAUGCAGGGCUUCCGGAGACCCGUGGAGCGGUGGGGAGGAAGAGGGAGUUGUGGCGGAGCUUCUGAGCUAGUCGGGGGAGCGAGGGGUGGUCGGAGACGAUUGCUACGGGGAACGGUGGCGACGGUGGUGUUCGGCCGUGUGAGAGAGAGAGCGAGGGAGAGGAAGGAGAGAGCCGGGGAGAGUGAGAGAGAGCAGGGGGGAUCGGGACGGGCUGCAGGCGUCGUCCACGCGGCCAGGAGGGCGUCGGCAAGCAGGAGGUGGCCGCGCGGCCGUGCGCGCGCGAGCACGCAGCAGCUUCGGGGCGAGGGGAGGAAGACGACGGGGAGCUACAGUGCUGGGCUGGGUCGGUUGCUGGCUGGGCCGGCCAGCUGGCUGGGCCGCACAGGUAAGUUUUUCCCUCUCUUUUCUGUUUUCUGUUUUUAUUUAAUAUAUCUGCAACUUUGUUGAAUUAAAUAAAAUACCUAGGCAACUUCAGAAAUCACCAAACUAUUCCUGGCCCAUAGUUGGAUUAUUUCCAACAUGAAACAUUUUAGUUUGGGGAUAUUUGAGCAUUUAAAUAUUUUAUAUUAUUUUAAAUGCCCAAAUUCAAAUAUUUAUGAUUUAAUUCAAAAACCCUAGGAUGGCCUAGGAAAAUGUGCACCAUUUUUGGCAGAGGUUCUGAACCAAGACAAAAAUGAUGGACAUUUUAGAAGGGCAUUUCAGGUUCAUUGAAAAUUAUUUUAGUAAACCCUAGUUGGUUUCAGAGGGGACUGGGGGUUCUGUCAUCCCCAUUUCAAGUUUCUGAUGAAUGAGUAAACAUGAUGCAACACUCUAAUGCAUGACUAGCUAGGGUGUGACACAUUAAGAAUUUUUUUUGAUGCGAAUCAAAGGAGUCAAUACACACUAACAAUGCACACUACAAAUGAAUAACCAAAUACAAUGAAAAUGUAGACAUGUUUCAAUAGGAAAACAACCUAAAACAUACCGAUAAUGAAGCGUAUAAUGGCGUUAGAAGACCCAGACAAUGGCAGUGCCCUACCCUCCUUUUGAAAAUCUUCCUAAUUUUAGCAAGAGCAAUACUUUUGAAGAUCUAUUACUCAAUGUACACAUCUUCCUUAAUUUUACCAAACGGACAUGAUAAAUAUACCUCUUCCUCCUCUUUCCUCUGCAUUUGCUGAUCCUUUCCUCUUCUUUUCCAUCUUAUGAAGAGAAGUCACAGAACUGCGCCGGUUGGGCAUCUUAUUAGCUUGUAUGUAUAAUCAUCUAAAAACAAAAACUUGUGCGUACACUAGCAUGAAUGAAAAAUAUAAUUAUAUAAACAAAGUGGCAGUGGCUGCAAAUAGUUCAGAGCAGAGGAGUGGUUCAGAGUUUCGGACCCUAGGAGAUUACCAGGAAAAUCCCCAACAGUCGUUGCCUGCUGGAGCCGCCGCUUGCUGCUGCCGCUGGAGCUUGCUGCCACCGCCCUCUAAGCCCCCGGCCCGGUCGUCGGUCACCCGCGGCCCUCCUCGUCCUCACGACCUGGCCAGCCGCCGCCGCCGCCCUAGCUGCUUAGGGUUGCAUCGCGGCUGGGCGUCGUGUCUCGUGUGCGUGGGCGCUGGAUCGAUCUCGACCAGUUGUUACUGGCCCAAGUGCCCAACAGCUGGAUGCGUCGCGUCGGCCCAUCAGGCCAGGCUGGGUGCGGUCGAACGAGUUAAGCAAUUGAUUCAAGUAUCAAUCGAUAGAUGCAUAUGUAUAUAAUUUUUUUUGCCCAAAAGUUAGGUAUGGCGGCUGCCAUACCCUGCCCACUGGAGAGGUCCGCCAGUGGUGUGUUACGCCGAUGAUUACACCCUCGCCAUCACGUCGUCUCCAUCAUCAAACAUCUCAUUGCUUUUUGGCUCCAUGUGUUGCGCAGUCCGCGACCCCAACUGGCUCGCUGCCAUGCGCAACGAGUUCAUUGCGCUUGUUGGCAAUCUCAAGUGGGAGCUGGUUCCUUGACUGCCACACGCCAAUAUCAUCAUUGAUAAGUGGGUUUUGUGCCACAAAACUCGCAUUAAUGACUCCCAUGCACGCUAUAAAGUGCGUCCGGUUGUGUGCGGCCUUCGGAAGCCCUCUACUUGGACUGCAUGAAGACUUUUUCGCCAAUUGUAAGCCUGCUGCAGUUCUCAUGGUGUUCACACCUCGUUCGUGCCUCGCGUGGCUUCCCAGUCAACCAGCUUGACUUGAAGAACACCUUCCUUCACUACGCACUCAGCGAGGAGGUGUUUUGCCUUCAACACGUCGGCUUCAUCCACGCUCCAAACCAAAACACAUUUGUCGCCUGACAAAGUCCCUCUACAGCCUCAAGUAGACACCAUGUUCAUGGUUUAUUCGCUUCACGUACUUUCUCUCGACCAUUGACUUUACUGCCACAUAUACCUGGCCAUACCUCGGGCCGGGCCGGGCUUCGCGUCGGGCCUAGCCAAGCCCGACGCAAAAAAACCCAGGCCCGGGCCAGCCCGGCGCAGCCAUCGGGCCUGUUUUCUGGGCCCGAGUCCGGCCCGAGCACGUAAAAGCCCGUCGGGCUCCGGGCCGGCCCGGCCCGACCUUUAAAAAAAUACAAAAACAACAGGCCCGGGCCCGGCCCGGCCCGGCCAUCGGGCUCAAAAUCUAGGCCCGAGCCCGACCCGGGAGCAGCGUCGGGCCGGGUCGGGUUGGGCUUUUUCGGGCUGGCUGGGCCGGGUUUCCCAUGGCCAGCUAUACUGCCAUAUGCUUUGACAACUCGCUAUUUUUCUGCACACACGACACAACCACCUCCUACGUCUUGUUGUAUGUGGACGAUAUUGUCCUUAUUGUAUCCCGCUUCCGCAGCGCAUUAUGGCCAAGCUCACCAUCUGAGUUGGAUGAAGUGGUGGUGAUUUCUCUCCGGAAAAAUAAAAAAGAUGAAGUGGUGAAUCAAGGAAAGGAAUGAUGUCAUCGGAUUUCACAGGGAUCAUUUGUCGUUAGCAGAGAAAAACGCCAUUUGUAAAUAAACUUAUCAAAUUGACGGCCUUAAUUUUGGACCUGCCUAAUUUUGAGCUUUGGGUCAACUUAUUUUUUUGACAAAACCGGCCCCGAAUCUCCUGUGUAGUGUCGUGUCUGCCUCACCAUUUUCCUCCUCCCUCCCAUCGACACGCCGCCCGCCCCGCCUCCAUUUCCCCAACUCGCGCUGCCGUUCCCGCCGCCCCAAGCCUCCAAAACCCUACCCACCUCCGCCCAGCCAGCCAUGGCCCCGCCCCCCACCUCCGGUAAGCGGCCCCAAGCCCCCGACCUUGCCUCCUACCCGCAUUGGCCCUAACUUGUCCCCUUUAAUUUCCUCCCCUGCAGCUGCAGGCCUGCAGCAGCGGCGGCUCCUCAAGGCGGCGGCCGACGGCGACCUUGGCCGCUUCAAGAGUACGCCCGCGCCUCCCUCUCCCCGUGCUAGUUUUCCGCUUGGUUGUUUGUUUGUGCUCGAUCCUGAUUUGGGCGCGAUUUUUUCCCCGUCAGGCAUCGCGAGCGCGCUGGAUGGCGGGAAGGGCCGCGUCAGGGAGGCGGUGGAGGCCGCCAGGGACGGCGGAUCCGGGCCGCUGCACGCCGCCGCCCGCCACGGGAGGAUGCCGGUGUGCGUCUACCUCGUCGAGCAGCUUGGCGUGAACGUCGAUGCCGCAGACGACAAAGGUGCUCUGUUUCGUUUCACAAAAUGUAAAAUACCCAGCGUGUCUAGAAACUGAGGUGCCGCCUUGACGACAAAGGUGCUCUGUUCACCAGGGGCGCAGUCAGUAGGAUGAUAAUGUACGCACGGAUGCUUUAAUUUUGCUGCAUUUUAGGGGGAAAAUUGGCAAAAACCCACCCACCUGCAGGGGGUUUCAAAAAAACCAGCAAGUUCUUGGAUUGUUUGGAUUGCUUAGCGUAAUUCAAAAAACACACACACACACACACACCAGUAAGUGUUGAUGUGUCCUCGACUCGUACAGAGGAGCCCCUGGCUCGGUUUGGCCCGGUGAGCGCUGAUAUGGUGCUCUGCUCACAGGACAUCCAGCGAGGAUCCAGAUGUGGAUUGUUAUGUGGAUCCUUCGGAUGUAUUGUAGGCAAUAGAGACAUGUUUCAUAGUAAAUACAAAUAAUCUUAAUAUGGAUUUUCUUCUUUCAGAAAUCAGAACAUAUGAUUUGUUGAACUUCUUAUUCUGAUGGUUUCGAUAGGUGAUACACCUCUGAUGUAUGCACUUGGUUGGGGGAAUUUGGAUACUGUGAGGUAUCUCCUUGAUCAUGAUGCUGAUCCAGAAAAGCGUGGUGAACACGGAAUGACCGCUCUACAUGUGGCAGCUGGAGCAGGUACCCCCUGUGCAUACGUAUUUCAUAUUUCUAUUUGUUCAUACUGUUACUUGUCAAUGUAUUUUGGCAGAUUGCAGGUUAUGGAAUUUACUACUACCUCUAUUCUUCUCUAUUUGUCUUUAUUGACUUUCUGUAGUCUUCGAAGUUUCAUAUUAACUACUACUCGUUUAACAUGGUAGCGGUAUGUACUGAUGAAACUAUGCUUUUAUAAAGACAAAUCUAGCGAUAUAAUUCUUAUAUAGCCAUGGUAGCUAUCAACAUGUUAGUGGCCAAACAUCUAAAUUUUUGACGGCAUGUGUUCUAAAUAGGACCUGUAAAAAAUAUUGCACAUAGUAUAAGAUAGGGAAUGCCCCAUGUCAUAUAGUUUUUUUUUUUGGAAAAGGGGAUGUACCCCAGCCUCUGCAUCAGAAAGAUGCAUACGGCUCAUAUUAUUAAAAGGACAGUUCAGUAACACAGUCUCGAAAGGUCGUAGUACAAACAAAAACAAAAUCUCAAAAGAGGAAAUACCCAAAGCCACAACCGGCUGGCAAAACAAUAGGAUCACUACAUGCCUAUCCUAUUACAUGACCGCCAUCCAAACCGGUUGAAAAUAUCCCGAGCUACCAUCUCCCAUCGGGUAGACGCAGUAACCAAACGCUCUCUGGCCACCGUCGGAGUGAGUAGCGACCACAUACGGAUGAACGCCGUGGCCCUGAAGAUAACAUGCAAAAAGUGAAUGGUUGUUGAUCUGUUAAAGACUAAAUCAUUUCUGCAGUUCCAUAUUGCCCACAAUAAUGCACAAACGCCAACCCGAAUGUGUCUUGCAGUGUCAGAAUCCACCCCAUCAAGCCAUGUUCCAAAUAACAUGCUGAUUGAGGUGGGCUGAUUAAUAUUAAACGCAAUAUGAACCGAUCGCCACAGAAUCUUAGCCAACGGACAAUCGAGAAAGAGGUGUUUGAUGUUUUCGUUAUGAUCACAAAAGCUACAUCUAGACGAGCCCACCCAAUUUCGUUUUGCAAGGUUAUCCUUAAUCAAAAUGACUUGUUUAUGCACAAACCCAUGUCAUAUAGUUAGGUUGCACAUAGUUAUGCUUGCGUCCUUCAGCUAUUUAGAAAGAUUUCCAUGAUAAAUGGAGUGAUUGCAUAGGCUAUCUCUGAUUGUUCCCUUGUUUGUGCAACUGCAACAAUAUGAUAAAUGGAGUGAUUGCGUAGGCUAUCUCUGAUUGUUCCCUUGUUUGUGCAACUGCAACAAUAUGAUGUUUGUGGGACUAUUUAUCGUAAGCUAUGAACUAAUAGAUAAUUACUGCAUGUUCCGUAUUGAUACAUUCUGUCAAAAAGGGAGCUGUAUCUAAAGAAAGUUAUGCUAUCAGUAAUUUGAUAGUCCUAAUUAAGGCAGAAACCAUAAAAUUAAAGAGUUCCAUCAUAUAGAACAGAUUGAGAUUAUAUAUUCAGAUUAAUUAUUUCUAAGCUACAUGUUUUCAUUUGAUCCAGUGCUAUGCGUUUUUGAGUAGCACUAACGAAAUGAGACUUGAUUAUUGUUGUCCAUGAUAACAAUUAAAAUACUAUAUUCAUUUUACCUUUACCGUUAAUAUGGUUUUCUUAAUCUAUCUUAAUGUACUAGUACAAAAUAAAAUUGGUGUUGCAUUGGGAGUCUCAGGCAUGUGGAUCCUAGUACGAUUCAAUAUUAGAUAUUCAAUCUGAAUUAGCAUUUGGUGCACAUCUGAUUGAUAUUCGAGUAUGGCUUGUGAUAUUGUUUUAGCCACUAUAUCAUUAGAAUUCUACUAUUUAUAUGUCUAAUAAUCUGUAUUUCCAAUUCAGGAAUGUGUGAAAUGAUAGAGGUCUUGCUCUCAAAAGGAGCUGAUGUUAAUUCCGUUUCUUUCUGUGGGACACCAUUGCAUGCUGCUAUUACCGGAAAGCAUGAUGCUGCUGUGAAGACCUUGUUGGAUCAUCAUGCAGAUGUAAGCUCCUUUUCUGUGCUUGGUAUUGUUUGAUCUACUAUAUUUACAACAUGCUGAUAAUUGUUGCACAUGUUUUUCAUUUGUUGUUUUGUCUAUUACCUUCUUUUUAGAUAAAUUUGGUUCUGUAGCAUUGAGAUGACAAGUUUUCAAAAGUAGAACUCAGUACUGAACUAUUUUCGUUCGUUUAGUACCAUUUAAAUUUUCCACCCUAAGUUCUAUUUAGGACUGGUAGCGAACCAAAAUUUCUUCUUCUCAACAUGCUUGCAUACUUUAAUUGUGUGACACUAUUAAUUCCUUAGUCUGUCUUGACAGUGUAACAAGGCAAUGGCCAUACAUUAUACGCCCCUGAUCGCUGCUAUCCAUGUUCGCUCACUGAAGUGUGUGAAACUUCUGAUUAAGGUAAUGUACAUCCUUCUUAAUCCAGUUGGAAUUUGUUUUCUUCAGUGACUAGUAAGCUCUCUGAGAUUGUUUGAUUUAUGGCACGCUUAUUUCCAAUGUGCUUAUUAAUUUCUUCUGUAUUAGGCGGGUGCUGAUGUGAAGGGUGUUGGUCCGCUAACCCCGUUAAUAGCCGCUGCGGAUGAUGGUUUAACUGAUUUCUACAAACCUUUACUUGUGGCUGGUGCUGAUCCUAAUGUUCGCGAUGAUGUAAGGUUUAGUUUCUCAUGUUUUUGCAUGUUCUUCACACUAUGGAAUGAUUGUUUACACACUGGAAGUUUUACAAUAUAAUUAAUUGCUGUUGGUAUCGGUACUUCUGGAAGAUGGUCUAUUUCUUGAUUCAGCUAACGGAUGUUACUAUUGAUAUUUGGUCUCCAAUGGAAGUUGCAUCUUAGUACAUUUGCAACAGGAAUGUCACCGUGAGACCAUCUCUAGCAGAUCCCGUAUAUGUCCGGCCAAGUGCGUUUUUCCGUCCGUUUUACGGGAUGGGCCAAAAAUACGGCCAGAGUAGGUCUGCUAAAAAGGGUCCGGCCCGUAAAACUUUUACAGGCGGCCCGUAAACCGCCCUCCAUUCGUCCAUUCCUCCAUAUAUGCGGGCGCCAGUGCAUUUUAGGGUUCCCGUCCCGUUUUCCCCCAUCCACCCCCGCCGUGAAAUCCCUCCUCCGGCGAGAAAUCUCUAGACCUCGGGCUGCGAUUUGCGCCGCAUUUAACCAUCAGAAGUUGCCGGAGAUGGCAUCCGCGGGUGCCGGUUGUGGCGGCGGCGGGGGGUUCGAUGGCCGCAAACGACACAACGUCGACGAGACCGGAAGUUUGUCCCUCCGCCCUCCGGUGUCGGAAAGGCGCAGGGAGCAGGCACGCUGCCGCAGCGCGCGGUCCCGCAGAGCCGGAGCGUUGGCGUGGGCGAACUUGCGUCGCCUUGGGCGGAUCUUCGAUCCGGCCAUCCAGCGCCUCCGGGCUCCCAAGCGCGCCUGGUGGGAGGCGAAGGUGCCCGUCGCCGCCAGAGAUGCAGCUGCGGUUGCGCGUCCCGGCGCUCCGCGAGGAGUACCAACUCCAGCAGACCCUCUCCGGCACGCUCAUUUACCACACCCUCCAUGGCAACGAGCCCCUGCCCCGCGAGGACGGCUCCGGCGGCGAGGGCGACUCCGGCGAUGAGUAUAAUAUGCUAGUAUGCUUUCCGUUUAGUAUGAUGUUUAAUUUUGGUUUGUAUUGAACUCCCGUAUGGUAUGUAGUAGAUGAACUCCCCUAUGCUAUGUUUGAUGAACUCCGGUGAUCUGUGUUUUAGCGCAAGCUAGAAGUUUGAAUAUGCGGUAUCGGUGGUUGCAGGAUCUGUUCUGGCUGCGCAUCCGGCGUCCUGCAAAAAUUGUUUCCGGGAUACCAUAAAUGAUUUUUGCGGGCGGCGGGUUGCGGGAUCUGCUAGAGAUGCUCUGACGCCUGAGAUAUAUAAUCUUCAUAACAUUUUUACACAUUCCUUCAUAUUCUGUGGAGAUUGUAGUGCACAUAUGUUGAAAGGUUGAUCUUAUGUAACUAUUAUCUUAUCCUUUGUCAUGAGGGUGGGAAGCUAAGUAGGCACACAGCAGCAAACUGGCCGUAAUGCUAGCAUGGGUCAUGUGCGCAUGGUUGUGCGCACCUGGCCGGCUGCAAUGUAGGUCCCAAAUUAGGAACUCACGUGAGCCUGCGAGUGGAAAUAUAUUGCCAUACCCCUGAAUCUUAUGUAGUUAUAAUGAUGUCAUUAUAAUGAUGUCAGCCGUGACAUUCUGCAUGCAACAUCUGUCAGUCUAUCCGUGGGAGUUCCCUUCUUUGAUAAAUUGGCUGCAUGCAUCACUCCGAUGCAGAGGUCGGGGAUGUCCUCCUUUUCAAUAAAAAAAAAUCUGUGGGAGUUCCCUUAGAGAUGAAAUUUUACUCAUUUAUUGUAUUAUAAAUAGCAAAAUGGAUUGUCUCAUAAAUGUGAUGCCAAUUUUUUUGAUUUCUCACUGAACAUGCAUCCUAACAUGUCACUAAGGACCUCUGGUCACAAAUACUUGCUGUUUUGGACAUUGAGAAUGUGUCCAAAAUGAAAAUUUGACCACUAAAUUUCUAUUGUAAUGUAAUAAUACAAUCUAAUAUGGUUAAUUGGUUAUAAUAUUUUGGAAGUUCAUUUUGAGAAAAAUCUUCACAUAUAAUUUUCAUGUUUGAAAUUUAGUUAAAAUUUCAAAAGUUUAACUACAUGUAUGUCCAAAAUAGCAUUAUGUCUGACCAGAGUUAGUAUACCUGAAGUAUGUAGAAGUAAUUGUGAAAUCAGUGCAGUGAAAUGUGAGCUUUGUGUUGUUUGCAAUGUUCAAUUUUCGUCAGAUGUUCCGUGUGAUGGACUGCUUGUUGCAGAAAUAUUUAGAGGUGCUUCAGAUCUGUUUGAACUAUAUAUAAUGUAUAACGACUGGAUUUACUGGGCAUGCCUUUGGUAGAGGUUAUACUAUACAUGUUUGUAUUUGUUAAUCUCCCAUUACCUCAAGUAAAAUGUGUCUUUGCUUUAUAUUAACAGGGAGAUCAACUGCCAAUAGAGAUUGCUGCACGUAACAAUAGACGGAAAGAUGUUGAGAUCCUUUUUCCGGUGACAUCUCGUAUUCCAUAUGUGCAUGAUUGGAGUGUUGAUGGGAUACUUGCUUAUGUCAAAUCAGUGCCAAAGGAGGAGGUAUAAAUUCGACGAUUUUGGCAUAUCUAAGAUUAUUAUCAUGUCUUAAUACUUGCCCUAGAGCAGCCUACCCCAACUUUAUUGGGACAAAAGGCACUAGAGCAUUUUCUAUUCUUUAGAAUCUUCGAUGCAUCCCUAACUUGAAGCAAGUAUAUCAGAGUUUAAACACAUGUUUGUUCCAAACACAAUUGGAUAACUGGAAUAUCACCAUAGGAUUGAGUGGAUGAAAUCAAAUUGACAUAAGUCGUUUCUCUUGAAAAGUUGCAGUUCAUUUAAUCUUCAAACUUCGUCAUUACCCAUCUGAAAAGUUCCAUUCCAUUGACACAUCAAGACAUUUAUUUUCUUCUUUCUGGAACCAAAUCAUUCAUCGGUAUUGAUCGCAUUAUGGAUAAAAGUUUGCAGAAUGGGAACAAGAUAUGGUGUCAAAUGUUUGUCUUCCUAACUAAAAGGAUCCUUGUGUUUUCUUUUCCCACUUAAUUUUACAUAUAUUGACUAAUCUGAAAAACAUUGAAUUGACAUAAGCUCUAAGGAUCACUUUGAUACUUUUCUUUUGGGCGGUCUCAGUUCAAGCGGUGGCCUCAGUUUGCAUGAACUUCUGAAUUUGACUGUUUCAGGACGACCCGUUGUACAAAAUGGGGCCAGCUUAUCUGAAAUCAGAAGGAAACAAGGCAUACAAGAGAAAAGAUUAUGUUUCUGCAAUAAAUUUCUACAACAUGGUAUGUGUUGUACUAUGCUCUUUUACCAGCUCCAAAUUAAUCAGUGCAAGGAAAAAAAAUCUCCUAAUGUAUCAUUGUGGUUUAUGAACUAGUUGAAUGGUUUGCAGAAUUUUGCAUCUCCUUUAAAAAUCCAAAUAGUAUAUUUUCAUUCCUCUGGUGCAUCCACAUUUUUAUUAAUUUAAUAGUGUAAAUCUGUGCAUAUGCUGUAAAGGAUAAGUGCUACAGUCUUAGUUUCAGUAGCAAAGGUUAUGGUCAUUAGGGGAAGCCAUGGUCCACUGGGUGUUGCUAUGGCCUAGAGGUGGUGCAUGGACUUGUUAUUGCUUAGAUGAUUCCAAAUGAGGCCUAAUGUCUUAAUACGAUGGCCAAAUCUAUCAAUAGAAUUUAAUCGAACCCACAGUCACCAAUUUCCUGGGCCGAUGUGGUCGAAGAAUGGGAUCAAGGAAUGGGGCACACUACUUGCGAAAGGUUUUGACUUUUGAUAAGGCCAGGACAAGAUUGUUUCUGUGUUCCUGGGAUGAGGAGCAUGACAUAGUUCCACAUUCCCCGUGACUGAUCUAACAUAAUCUAUAUGAAUCAAAAUGAGAUAUUAUCUUAUCUGGUUCCUUCUCAAGCUACACCUUCUUGCUCCUCACAUUGUGUCAGCUUGGUGCCUUGGCCUGCCUCCUUCGAUAAUAGAGCUAGAGCCACACGAAAACAGGAAGCUAUUGUUGUUGUGUAACAGGCAUACAGCAAGUGAUGUUCUUGUAAAAGGUUCUAAAUCUCACUAACCUGCACUUGGCUUGUCUCACCUUGUAGCGAGUAUAUGGGAAUUGUCCUUGUGAUUUGCUUCAUCUCUGAAAGGUUGAUUUUAAUAUUUCCUUUUAUGAUCGAAACUCCAUUUUGACAAUCAAAAAAAGAUAUUAAACACAAAUAAAAUGACAUGAUUAUUGUCUACUCACUAAAUUCCUUCCACAAAAGUUAGAUGUGCUGUUCGUGCUUUCACUGAAUACCUAAUUGGUUAAUUUGUUUCGACUCCUUAUGUUUCAGAACAUUUCUCCAUUGAGGAAUCAAGAUUUUAGUUAUUUUCAUUUCACUGAUAACAGUCUGGGAGACCUCUAGUCAUGAUUGUAGUUAUGAGUUAAGACGGUAUUUUCUUUUCCCUUGACCUGUCUCUGUGACUCAACCUUUUUAUUCUAAUGAUAGAAAAGGUUAGAUGUCUGGUUAUUUAGCAUUAAUCUUUCUAGUUUUAGUGCUUAAUUAGUCUUUUGUUUGGACAAAACUAGGGAAACGUAGGGAGUAUAGUAGUACAUAACACCAAGUCAGACUGAAUGAUCCACUGUGCUCCAGUGUGUUGAAAUAUAUAAAUGAUAGACCCAGUGCAUAGAAGCUCCCAUACAAGGUGGGGUCUGGAGAGUGAUUGUAGGAACCUAGUCUUACCCGUGCGAAGUGCAAUGCAGAGAGGCUGGUUCGAACCCAGACUGAUUACCUGGUUAAACUUGUUAGCCUACUUGUUUUGCAUUACCCGAUUUAAGGGGGCCUUAUAUUUGUACUUCGCUGAUUAAAUUGAGCUACAUGGAAAGUUUUGCAUCGUUGACAACUAUGUUACGAAGAGUCUGCAGUACCAUGUAAAACCCCAUAUAUUUUUAUGGAAUGCACGACAUGUCUUUUGUAAAAUGACAGCAAAGUAUUAUAACUCAUCGUGAGUUGAUAACUUCAUACAGAGGGAAAAUGCUAUAAUUUGAGUGGAUGACUUAACCAAGUCUGCAUCCUUUAUAUAUUUAUUUUGAGUCUCCAAUAGCCCAAACUCACUUUACCACCUAAUUCUAGUGAUACGACUGCCCAUCAAUGUCUUGUGUACAGGCGUGAGUAAAAAGUUCAAUCCUGUAUGUAAGUGACAGUUGCCAGUGUGAUUCAUUAUUGUAGGCAACCAAGCUUGAUCCUGAAGAUGUAGCCUUGCAUUCAAAUAGGAGUGUUUGCUGGAUUAACUUGGGUGAAGGAGACAAGGCCUUGGAGGCAGCCGAAAUGUGCAGGAUGAUACGUCCUGAUUGGCCAAAGGCCUGUUACAGGCAAGGGGCGGCCCAAAUGUUUUUCAAGGUGAGAUAAAACUUCACAAUUUACAGCUAAUCCUUCUGCUGUGGCCAAUCCCUUUUUAUGCUCUGAUGACACUACAAUCCAUGUCUUCAGAACUAUGAAAAGGCAUGUGAUGCAUUUCAAGAUGGUCUGAAGUUGGACCCGACAAAUGUUGAGAUUGAGAACGCAUUAUGCUAACAUACUUAUCCCCAUCUCCGUGUCUAUCAAUGUCGGAAUUUUAGUGUAAGCAUAAACCUCACUCAGGAUUCCAUUACUGUGUCAUGAUAAAUCAUACAGAGCAUCGUACUAAAGCAUGCAUACGGUGCAUACUAUUCAGGUCAAUACACUAGUUUGAUACUCCCUCGGCCCCUCCGAUCACAAAUAUUCAUUUUAGGGUUGUCCAUAGUUAAACCUUAAUAACUCUGACCAUAGAUAACACAAGGUCAGUACUGCUAGAUUUACCAUGUUAGGUAAUUUCAUAAUAUAUGAACUUUCUAUCCGAAACAAUAUAUCUUUAGAGAAAUUGAUGGUCAAAAUUUCACCUUGUAGACCAUGUUGAUGUCCUCAGCGACUUAUAUCUGUGAUCAGAUGGAGCAUAUGAUUUUUAUCUCAAGAGUGAAUCCCAAAUUGCGUUGUCAUGCAUUGCUUUGCUACUUCAACACAUCUAUAUAACAUAGUAAUGUCAUAAUUUGACUAUGCAGGGAGGCAUUCAACUCGAUGAAGAUAUCUCGUGCCAAAACGGUCUCAUGAACCGCCAUCCUUUGAUCAGAAGAGACCUACCCAAGGCCAAGCUGUUUCUGUGCGUGCUUCCCCUUCGAUGUUUAAAGACGUUGAGUUGAGAGGUUCCGCGUAGUACUGUACACACGAGCUUAUCUGGCUUCUUUGUAUAUAGCGUGUUGGGUCAUGAUGGUACAAUCUAUUUGCUGUUUCUCGCUACUGAAUGCUGAUCGUAAGUUUGAAUCCUUAGACGCGCGGCGACAAUUUGUCUGCAUUUUCGUGCCAAAAUGCGAGAAUUAUGUAGCAACUGAUCCGUGGUGUGGUGGCAUGAAGUUGGAUGAUUUCAUCCACGAAUUGGAGACGUCUUGAAUUUGGACGUUUUCAGCCAUGAAUUGGAGGUGUCUUGAAUUUCUG
Molecule: long non-coding RNA, 71058 nt
Filed under: Triticum aestivum (bread wheat)
Lineage: Eukaryota; Viridiplantae; Streptophyta; Magnoliopsida; Poales; Poaceae
Description: long non-coding RNA (TAES_LNC002136)
Source: RNAcentral